This 57729-nucleotide long non-coding RNA is filed under the name Populus trichocarpa (black cottonwood). RNAcentral's name for it is "long non-coding RNA (PTRI_LNC002309)". Lineage: Eukaryota; Viridiplantae; Streptophyta; Magnoliopsida; Malpighiales; Salicaceae. The record is from RNAcentral.
UUUCAGUCAUGUUUUUUUUAAUGAAUCCAAAGAUAAAAUUAUUAAAGAAGCUUAAAAGAAAACUUCACCGGCCAAAGUAUGCUCCUAAAAAUGGUAGCAUUUCUUAAAACUACAUAAACCGCAGAAAUAGAUAUAAUUAGUGCCUCUACUCUACAUGAGAUCAAAAUAUAUCUCAUUUGAGUUGCGGGUUUAGAAUUUAACCCGGGUUAACUUGGUUAAUGUUUUUAGAUUUUUUUAAUUGAAUAUAUAUUCUUUAACAACUCAAUUUUUUUAUUUAGUUUUUAUUUUUAAUUUUAUAUUUUAAUAUUAGAUUGUUUGAUAAUCGAGUUUUGUAAAAAAAAUUCAAUAUUCUACUUUCCGUGAAAUUAUUCUAAUCUCAUAAAUUUAGUUUUUUCCUCUUAAUUUCAACCUUUAACAUUAAAAGAUCCAAGGACUAAUUUAUUUUUUAUAACUGGAAAAACAAACUAAAUUUUCUUAAAUAGAAAAUAAAUAAAAAACCAAAAAACCAAAAAACUAAAGCCCAUUACAUCAAAGUCUCUAAAAAGAAUCUAGUUAAAAAACCCAUAAACUAAUUUGAAUUUUUAAAUAGAAAAAUGAACCAAACUGAAUCGUUUAGUUUGAAUUGGAUUUUUUUUUCAGCUCAAUUAUUUAAUUUUUUUUAUUUAGUUAGAUAAAUCGAGCUUUUUUUUUAUUAACGUGGGUGUCUAUAUUAGUUUGCACGUAUCUCGACUAAUCUCACGGGCCCUAAAGUUAACGACCAUGUAAGUCUCUAGUGGCUCUGAAGUUUGUAAGACUCAAACUGGUAAUUUUUAGAAAACAAAUCUAAAACCUAACUAGUUAUUAGGUUUCGAUGGAUUGAUUCUUACUUAUGCAUGUGGAGCUCAUAGUUGGGCCCGUUGUUCUAAAUUUCUAAGUCCCAGGAUCUAAGGAAAAAUCUUUUUUAUCCGGCCCUAUGUAUCUUUUGGUGGACGUUGGGAAGAAUUUAGAAAGCAUAUGUUUGGGGGAUUUAAUCAGUUAAUGGUGGUUUGCUUUGGAGGCAGAUAAUUGGUUGUUUUUUGCUGGAAUAUUUUUGGGGAUGUGUUGUUGUGAUAGAGGAUCGUGCUGGCUUGGAUAGAUAUCAAUGUUUGGACUGACGAUAGUUCAGGUGGUUUUGGACAUGGUGAAUAGAUUAAGAUGAGUAGCUAAAGUAGCAACAGCAGCGACGACGACAACAAUACGGGUGUGCCGCUGUGUUGAUGUUUUCUUUUAAAGAAGGAUAAAAGUUUAUAGUUUUUUUUAGCUUGUAUAGGUAAUUAACUAGGUAUAAUUAAAAAACCAAUUUAAAUUUAUUUUGAAGUGUGUGACCGACUUCUACAAAGAAACAAGAGACAACUUUAAUAAUCUGGUUCAAACUUCGAUACGUAGUUGAAUUUUUAGCGGGACAUAUAAAUCUUAAUUUUUCAUGGUUGGAUUACAGAGUAGAGUUAUCUGAGUUGUUCUGUUCUUCACAUAAGCAUGACUUUAAUUUUAUGAGAUUUUUCUUAAUUUUUUCUCUUUAAUGCUGAUGCAUUUCGAAAAUAAAUUAUUUUCUGUAAUUUUUAGUUUUAAUUAAUAAAAAAUACUUGUAUAUACAUCAUUAUUAUUUUAUUAUUAUUGAUAGUGAAAGUUUUUAAGUAGAUUAUAUAUAGUCUUGUAUAUGACCUUUUCCCACAUUGAUGGGGUUUUUUUACAUAAAAUUUUUGGUGUUAAUUUAUUGUGAUUAUUUGCUUAAUUUAUUGAUUGAUCGAUUCUAUUUUUAAUUGCACAAACAUAAAAAUAAUUGAGAUUUAUGGAUUAUAAAUUUAAUUAUAUUGGUGUCUUUUCCCAGCAGUAAAACAGCAACUUUUAAUAGGAAUUUUUGGUUGCAGUUUCAAGUUUCAUUUGCCUUUCCGCAUGGUUUGUCUUUAGAGUCUUAUUCAUUUUAGUAACUUGGAAUAAUGUUAGUUUCAAGACCCUUACAGCUUUAUAUUAUUCUGUCUCGUAAACAUCACUUGAAUUUUAAGAUGGUAUUAUAUAUAUUUUUUACGUUUUUAUACACAAUUGUCAAAUUUUGCGAUUAAAAAAAUAAAAUUCAUAUGAUAUCAAGUGCCAAAAGAGCUUUUAAACCUAAGUACACAACAUAAAACUUGGAGUUUUGGAGAUCGAAGUUAGUUUUGAAGUGCCUUGAUCAUUUGGUUCAAUAUAUAGGAGUUUAAUUUGGAGCCCGUAAGUUGGCAGAGAAAACAUCAGUGGUUUAUAUAUAGCCCUGGGAUUGAGGCACGGGCAAUUUUAAGGUCAAAAUCUACUCUCUCUUUUUUCAUCAGAUUUUCUAGGCCAAUUUUAACCCACAGAUAUCGCCAAGAUCUUAAUUACUUCUCUGAUUUCCACUAGUUAAAACUUUCUUUAUCAAUACAACUAUAUAUUUUGGUUUAUUAGGAAUAUUAAAUUUAAUUUUCUAAUUCGCUCCAAGUCAUGAGAUUAUUAGGGCUUCAUAAACUUUGUUAAAAAAAAAGAUUCAGACUUCUCAAAAUAAAAAUCUCUAGUUUAUUGCAUGUUGAUCAAACCCUUUCCGUUUCACUACUGUUGCAUCAACAGCUUAUUGGGUUUUGUGAUUUUCUUCUGUCCGCAAUUUUCACAAACAAGGAGAGCUUUAUAGUUAUAAUAUUUUAUUACUUAAAAAACAGCAUAGAAAAAAGGAUUUAACCGAAAAAACAAAAAUGGAGAAAAAUGAACCGUCUGAUUAUUAAUUUUUUUGCCAGGAGUGGUAAGCAGAGAGGCUUUCCGAAUUUCUCUUCAGUGAAAACUCCUCCUGUAUAUUUCUGUUUUAUAUUUCUGCAAUGAUAAUUUUGUCCCUGGUCACUUGUAGAAGAAGAAAAAAAUAAUCCUAGCUAUCAAGUUCUCACUUCAAUUAAUGCAUAGUAUUUCUAGUGGUGUGGGAAUGCCUAGAUAAGCAAAGCAAAUGUAUAUCUCGAAUUUGUCCCCUUUUAUUUUCAAGAAAAAAACAGUUCAUCGUUUGCAAUUUCAAGGCUAGCCACUAGUUUAGACUGAAGGAACUAUAUACAAAAAAAAAAAACCAGAAACUUCCAUGUAAACAAUGCAUCAGUAUCUGGAAAUGGAUAGCAUAAAUGGGAAAUCAUGACAUUACCUCAUAUCUCAGUAAACAUUAAUUCAUCUGUAUCAAUGCUCUUGUACAAGUACCAACAAGAUCUCACUUUGAAUUCUCAAAUUCACAAAGUCAGAUCCAGGGUACUUGUCUAUUUCGGGUACUUUGAAGGCAUGCUUAGAGUUAUAGAAUUGCAUUCUUUUGUUGAGGUAGAAGAUAGAGAAAGAUAUAAAUCGCUGCCCUCGUCUUCCACAUCCCAUGAUAAACUUCUCUUGACUUCCUUUCCUUUCAAUUUUGUGCAAAGUGAGAGAGUUAAAUCAAGAUCAUCAACCUUCCUUUUAGCCUUGUUACACUUUUCCACGUUGAAGCUCCACUUUGUCUCUAAGCUUACUGAUUCAUUAGCUUCUCCUCUUCUUUUAGAAAGUUGGGCUACAAAAUAGGGUUGUUUUAUGGUUGAACUUGUUUGGCUGCGGAUUGACUCGCUAUUGUACAUCGAUUUGUGAUAUUCAGUAUCCUGGGAUUCUUGCAUUAGCUUUUCUCCACUGAUCUUCUCAGCCAUUAAGCUGUAAAAUCCAGCUCCUCUUCUAACAUUUAUGCUAUCCGGUACAGAAGGAUUGGUGAUCCAGUUUCCAUGUCCACUCCAAGGAACGUUUCCAUAUCUGUGUGAAUUGGAAGCUCAUAAGCUUAAGCCCGAAAGGAACCACAAGUUCAAUUUUCAAGAAAAAAUUAAGAUAUAUCUAUUUGAUUAGUACCUGAAGUUAGAAUUAUGAUUGUGAUCAAUAUUUGGAAGCAGAGAGUGUUGCCAAAAUUCGUGAGAGAAUUUGUCCGAACUGCCAAUUAGAUCCCCCGUACCGUUUAUAACUGUCAAUUUAUGAAAGGCAAUAGUUCUGAGAAUUAGGAACGCAUAAGUAGACAAUUAAGAAACAAACCCUAAUAACUAAUUUAUUCAAAACAUACGAAGGAGAAAAUCACAAAACUGGUACCUUGACCUUGAUCAUCAAUCUUCUUGCUCCGGUACAUCUGCUUCCAAACACCCAAACAAAAAAGGAUAUUAAUACGAAAUUAAGUGAUACGAUCAAUCAUCUAAACUCUGAGAAUUGAUCAGUCAAAAUUUUCUAACUUUAUAGUAAAUAAUUAUGGGAUUAGUGCUAUUACCUGUAGAUGGCUCUUGACAUGAGCAAUACUUAGCCCCUUGAAGUUCAUUAGUUGCAACACUAGUUUUGGGGUUGCCCCUAUAGCAAACAAAUAGAUCACAAAUUAAAGUUAAAAAAUAAUUAAAGUAUUUUCUUCGAAACCAAAACACAAGUAUUCAGAAAAACAUCAUCAUGAUCAAGAAGUGGGAGAGAUUCCAAGAUCUUACUCUCGUGACCACCAAGUCUCUCCACAGCUUGAACAAAGCAAAGAUGAAGAUCAGGAGUCCAUCUUAGCCUAGGUACCUUCGAUCUUGCAUAUGGCCUUACCCCACUAGAGCUUGCUUUCUCGCACUCCUCCACAAUGCUAUUGCUCGAGCUUCCGCUAUUUUUAGUCUUACUUUCAUCAUCUCCUUCCUCAUUGUUCUUGCCUGAAGGAUCAAACUUCAAACCAUCACAAUUCUGAUCACUUCCCGGCAUCAUAAUUCAAUAUAGCUGACUUGGAGCUGUAAGGAGGACAACGAGAAGCUUCUAUAUAUAUUAGAGAAAUUAUUAUUGACUCCAAAAAUCAUCACAAACAGUUACCCAGCAGGAACUUCUGGGUUCCGAUAAUUCCUCGACUACAACUUUUCUCUUCAAUCAUCAUUAAUAUUUCAAAUAGAGUUUACAUAUUCCAACAGAAAGUAAUAUUUCAUGAGCUGACAUGCCUAAGAUAUAUCCAUCUGAAAUGUUGAUAUAUACCGAACCCUAAUUAACUCUAAAAAGUCACAGCACAUAGACAUUUUAAUUUCUACACCACUGGCCCCCUAAUUUUAUAUGCAACCACCCACACACACUUAUAUAUACAAUGAGUACUCGUACAUGUGACGCUAUUUAUGUAUGGAAUGGGCAUCAUUCAUGUAAUGUUAACCGUAUAGGUUUGGUAAAGGUUAGAACUGAGAAAUAAAAAAUCCUUAUGAGAGGGGAAAAAUUGCACGGUGUAAAGCGAUCCUAACAGAAUGCCUGGGCAAGCAGUGCACACGCGCAUGGGGAAGCACGUCUAACCUUUUCGAAUCCUGACAUCAUUGAUCGUAUGCAUGGUAAAAAGUAAUAGAAUGUAGUCACCGAGGAAAUGUUACUUCAUUAAGUCCUUCGUGCAUUUUUGUUUUGGCUCCCUGCACCGAGAAAGUGCUUGGAAGAGAAAAUAACACAGGAGCCCUAAAAGUGUAAUUAAAAUGCAAAUGAAAAGAGUCGGGCAUGGGGAAGGCUGACGAGCCCAUGAUUCUUGGUGUCGGUGUUCACGGAUUUGUCUUUGCCUGUAUUUAUAAUAUGACCGUAUACCGAAUAACAACAAGGCUUGUAUUCUUGGCUUCUCCGAGGAUUCCUCAACCUCUAUGUGUCUGAAGUUUUAAUAUUCUGCUCCUGACAUGUCAUCAGAUUCAAUGCUGUUUUCUAAUCCAAACGAGGUAAGACUCAUGAUUCUCGAUCUCUGGCACAAACAUUCAUGGCAUUCUAUAAGGGUUGGGGGUUUAUCUAAAUGCAUUGAGCAGGAAAAAAAAAUCUUCGGUAAAAUGGUUCAGAUACUGGUAAAGACCAAUUUAAGAUGAAACCGAGGAACUAAAUUUUAAGUAAUAGCCAUCCACUGGAGCUAGACGAUGCUCGGACAAAGGUUAACUACAUGUCAGAGUCAUCACUAAUUGCAAUUCACAUAGAUCUUCCCAUGCAAAUGAACCUGGAAUCCGAUUUGUUUGUUCCAGCUGGCAUGCAAUCAGUAUUGAUCAUCACUUGCAAGUAUACCAUGCGAUCGAUCCAAGGGUACUGACAUAAAUUAUAAUUCCAUCUCUGCCUCACGCUUCGAGCUUCUGCUUGAGCAACUAACAAAAAAGGAAAAUUUUAAUUCACAUUCGCCUGACUAAAUUGAUUUCAUUAAAUUAAGGAACUCAGCCCUAAACUGUCAUCAAUUGAUUAAUUCAUCAAAUGUUCAUGGAUUUGCUCUCCCAGUACCGUACUAAUUGCAAGAUUCAUGAUAACCACUGGACCGGCUAAAUGCCUAAAUAUAUAUUAAUUAAUUAAUCCUGUCGCACAUAAACCUGAUUACUUCUUCACAGUUUUUUUUUUUUUUACUAUGAGAUUUGAAUUUAACUUUGAGGGUCUCGAUUUUAAAUUUUUAAUCAUCGAAUCAAUAUAUGCCCUAUUGGCAAAUAUUUAUAAUCAUUUAUUUGGUUCUCAUGAGCAUUGUACGUAUGUUAAUUAAUAUAUUGUUUUUUUCUCGUGAUAUUCCUUAAUAGAAUUAGCAUACCUGAUUAAUUAACUAAUCAAACGCGGAUAGAUAGCGACUAGAACUUGAUUUUCAGAAUUCUUUUAUCAAGAUUUUGAAUUAUUAUCAUGCCAAGAUGCGUCUUUCAUAAGACCUACCAUAUCAUCACAAACUUACAAUCAUGUUAAUUAUAUAUAUAAACUCUGUGCUUAGCAGAAAUACUUCGAAGAACUGGGCCUUUUGUGGUUAUCAAAAGGUUGUCUAUAGACUUAAGUCUUUCAUGUGGAUAUAAAACUGGUGUUGCUUGUGUUUUCUGUUCAUUGAGACUUGAGAAGAUUAGAUCACUGCAGUGCAGAGGUCAACUCCCAACAAUUUAUCCCAUUAUUCUAUUUGCUGCAGGCCUCCAAGAGCAUAAAUAUUUUAUUGCAUGAGAGCACAUAACCCUACUAACGCGGAUCGAACCAUUAUUUCAGAAUGAGCAUAUUUGUCUUCUUUCUAUCAUCAUCAGACAUGCACCCCUCUAUUAAUUUUUAUGUCCAUCAUAGUACUGCAAAAUCUUUAUUAUUGCUAUUUGUAAUCAUGCUGGGAGGAUUACGCAUCUCCACAUCAUGCCAUGCUCAGCUAGAGCUAAUGGAGAGCUUCGUUCAGUGUUUCGCAUAGUGAUUGAAAAGUGUUUUUGAAAAUUUUAAAUUUUAUUUUUUAUUUUAAAUUAAUAUAUUUUUUAUAUUUUUAGAUUAUUUUUAUAUGCUAAUGUCAAAAAUAAUUUUUAAAAAAUAAAAAAAUUAUUUUAAUAUAUUUUAAAAUAAAAAACACUUUAAAAAAAACUAUUAUCACAAUUUCAAAUUCCUCUUAAUCAAACUCCAGCCGUUCCGAAUUAUAUAAGUAAAGACGAUGGAGGGUUGGAAAAUUAAGGUUAGUUGAUCUAAACUUGUCUCCGGUCUAAGGUCCAACCUGGAAGAGGAUCCAGAUCAUUAAGUUAUCGGUCAAUAGGUAAACCAUGUCUCUACAUGAAGUUCUUUUGGGCCGGGCCCUUGCCACUGAGGUUCAGAGUACGGCAAAGUCAUAGUUGCAUGUAUCAUCAAGUUGAAGCCCUUGGGCAACAUUUUGGGCUACUUUGCUGCCAUGGGAGCCUGGCACACAUCAAAUGAUGAGAUCUUUGACUCCGUAUGUAUGUAUGUGUAUUCAUGUAAGAAAUUAUAGACAGCAUGAAUCGCAUUUAAAAAACAAAUAAAUGUAUUUUCUUAGUUUAAGGAAAAUUACUACGCAAGUCGGUUUUUUAUAUAAACUACGAGGAGUUUAGAAAUGCAGUGAAGAUAAUUUUUUAAAGUGAUUUUUUUAGAAAUAUAUUAAAAUAAUAUAUUUUUAAAUUUAAUUUUUAUAUCAAUACAUCAAAACAAUUUGAAAACAAAAAAAUAAAAAAAUAAAAAAUAAUAAUUUUUAAUAAUUUUUUUCAAAAAUAUUUUAAAACACAAAAAUAAAAUGCUUCCAAAUAGAAAAUUAUCACCCACCGCUAUAGCAAAUGGUUUCGAUCCAUACAAAUAAGGUAAUGAAAUAUUUUUUUAUUUCAUGGGCUUGAAUAUCGUUCGUGUAUUUGGAAUUAAAACGCCUACUUUGUAACAUGGGCCACAUGCAUCAUGAUGGUGUGAUCAAUGGACUACGUUUUGGGCUUAAGUAUCUCCUCGGUUUUCAUGUACAAGGCAAACUCCAGUUUGUUUGUUAAAAAAACAAAAUUUCUUUUUUCGUUUCUAUUUUUAUUUCCAGUAUAGAUUGAAAGAUUGUUCAUUUGUUGAGAAUUAAGAGAAAUGUUUUGAAAAAAUAAAAUAAAAGGCAAAUUAAAAUUAUAACUAUUUUUCAUAAGAAAUCAUGAUUAUGAUUAAUUUAUAAUUAUCAUCUUAAUAUUUUAUGUUUAUGAUAUCUAAUUAUAAAAUUUUAUUUUAUUUUAUUCAAAUUAAAAAUUAAUUAUGAAAAGGUUUUAUUAUUAACUAAUAAAAAAUAAAAUCUUUAUAUUAUAAUUAUAUUAAAAUUAAUUCUAUGAUACUAGCUAAAUAUAAAAAUAUAUAAGAAAUAAUUUUAAUAUUAUACAUUGUUAGAAAAUGCUUGCAUGUAUAAUAAAAACUCAUCUAUAUUUUAUAUGAUUUUUUUCUUUGCUUAAAAAUCAGUGAAAAACUUGUAAAUAAAAACUAUAAAAAAAAACUUAGAUAUAUUUUUUAAACUUAAUACAAAUUUAAAAAAUGAAAUAGAAAAACAUUACAUUUUAACAUAAAGUUUUAAUUUCUCUUUUUUUAGCUCCAUUCUUAAAUAAAAUUAAAAAAUUAAUUUUUUUAAAUCGAUGUCCAUUUAGGGAAUGUUUAGCAUGGCUUCAACUUUUUUUAGAUGCUUUAUAAAAGUAAUUUUGACUUGAAAAUAUAUUAAAUUAAUAUUUUUUUAGUAUUUUUUAAUAAUUUUAAUACACUAAUGUAAAAAUAAAAGAAAUAUUUUAACAUAUCUUUAAAAAAUUUAUUUUAAAAAGUAUUAUGCAUCGCAGUGUUUGUUUUUGCAUUAAAAAAAUGUUUUUGAAAUUGUUUUUUCUUCAUAUUAUUUUUUUUAUAAUUUUAGAUUAUUUUAAUAUUCUGAUAUUAAAAAUAAAUGUUAAAAAAUAAAAAUAUUAUAUUUUAAAAUAAAAAAUAUUUUUAAAAACAUUAACUAAACCUACUUAAAAACUUAGCCUCUGCAGACGGGAAAAAAAAAGAGAAAGAAAGAAAGCUGAGUAGAUAGCAUUGUUCAUCCUAGUUGUCUCAGAGACUAUAAUGUCAAAGUCCAAAUAAAGAAUCAGGCCUCAUUUGUUUGAUGGAAAUUGAUUUUCUGAAAAUCACUUUCUGAAAAUCACUUUCGAAACUUUCAUAUGUUUGUUUGUUAUUAAGAACAUUGAUCAAUGAAAAAUACUUUUCAGUCCAGGAAAAAUUUGGCUUGGUUUUCAGGAAAGUGUUUUCCUUUUAUUUUAGACAGAAAACACUUUCCGAAAAUUGUGAAAAAUUUAGAAAUAUCAUAUUAUUUGCUGAUUAUAUUAAUUUUUGUCCUCAAACUUUUGACUGCUAUAUAUAUUUUGCUUUGAAUAUUUUUUUUUUCAAUUUCAUCCCUUAGAAUUUGAUUUUUAUAUUAAUUCUAGUCCUCAUUUUUAUAAUUGUUAUUUUUUUUCCUUUAUCAUUUUUUAAUUGAAAUCUUUUAUCUAUCAAAUUUGAUCAUCAUUCUUUUGAUUAUUACUUAUUUUAUUUGAAAUAAUUUAUGAAAUGGUAAUUAUUAUUAUUUUAAUUUAUUCAUCUUUUAAAUUUUUUAUUUAUUAGAUUUGAUCUCUAUUAUUUUGAUUAUUAUUUAGUUUAUUUAAGAUAAUUUAUGAAAUUAUAUUUUUUUUCAAUUUCAUUCUUAUUUAAUUUUUUAAUUUGUAAGAUUUUUUUCUUAUUAUUUUAAUAAAAUUAAAAAAAUAAAACAUUAAUAAAUUAUUUUCCAGCUCAUUUACCAUGACAUAACCAAACACUAAAAAAUAUUUUUCAAUUUAUUUUUUAUUAUACUAUAAAAUAUUAAAAAAUAAAUUACUUUUCUAAAAUUUACUUUUCAAAACUAAUUUUCAUAAAACAAAUAUUCCUUAAGCUUGUUAGUUGUCUCGAAAUAAUUAAAUUGAAUCUGAAAUCCCAAAAAAGUAUACAGUGUUCCUAAAAGUCUCAACGACAAGCGUCGAGGACAAUAGCGUAAAUCAGAAUAGAAGCGUUCGGUACUACGAUGGCAUGAUCCUCUCAGUAGUCAUCAUUUGAACACGUCUCCGCUAAUCUUCGGUCUGUCGCUGCCUCCUCACCAUCAUAAAAAAAAAAAAAAACAUCCAAUAGACCGACACCUUUGUCUUUCUGUGGUAUCUAACCACCGCCAUUAGAUUUUUACUCAAUUGUACAGCUCCUAUGAACCCGACAACCUAUUUUAUCCUCUUCGAUUAAUGCUUUCAACAUUCUAAGUUUCAAGCUUUUCUUAUGCUUUCUCCGACUUGAAAUCCAAGUUUUCCUGUUUUGACUGCAGAGAAAGUGAGGAACUUAAAAGUAAGGAACAUAUUUUUUUUAUUCUUUGCUCAAAUAAGACUUUUAGGAUAAACUGCUAUCUUGUUUUCCGUCUUGACUUCAGUUAUAAUUAACUUUCUUAUUCAGUAUUAUUAAAGCAAAUAUGUAAACGAAGACUUGAAAGUUUAUUUCUCUUUCGGUUUUUUUUUAUAUAUAUAUUUGCAGUUUCUUUGCAGCCAAACAGGAAAUUGGCCAUCUGGGUUUUUUUUAGGGUCCAUUUUCUGGUGGAUAGAGCUGAAGAAAUGGCCUCUGCUCAUGCAUUUAGUUCACUAUCUAAAGUUUCUCCUGUAUUUUCUCUUAAAAAAGGGUACUGGAAUUCAUGUAUGAAACCUUGCUGUAUGGUUUCUACCAUAAUUUGCAACUACCAAACGCCUAAAAGGCCCGAUUUUGUUGUUGCAAAGACUACUAAAGUUAGAGAAUUUAGGCUAUUUAAGUCAGUGGAAUUGGACCAGUACGUGACGAGUGAUGAUGAAGAAGAAAUGGGUGAAGGGUUUUUUGAGGCAAUUGAGGAACUUGAGAGAAUGACAAGAGAACCUUCUGAUAUUCUUGAGGAAAUGAAUGAUAGGUUGUCCGCGAGAGAGUUGCAAUUAGUGCUUGUUUAUUUCUCUCAAGAGGGGAGAGAUUCCUGGUGUGCGCUUGAGGUGUUUGAGUGGUUGAGAAAGGAGAAUAGGGUCGACAAGGAAACAAUGGAGCUUAUGGUUUCGAUAAUGUGUAGUUGGGUUAAGAAGUUAAUUGAAGGGGAACAAGAUGUUGGGGAUGUGGUUGACUUACUUGUGGAUAUGGAUUGUGUGGGGUUGAAGCCGAGUUUUAGUAUGAUUGAGAAGGUGAUAUCUUUGUAUUGGGAUAUGGGGAAGAAGGAGGGAGCGGUUUCAUUUGUGAAGGAGGUUUUGAGACGAGGGAUUGCAUAUUCGGGCGAUGAUGGAGAAGGACAGAAAGGAGGCCCAACUGGGUAUCUUACAUGGAAGAUGAUGGUAAGCUUCUGUCAUAAUCAAUUCUUACCACUUUGUUCAGAUUAUCUUUAUAGAAUUGGCUAGCUGCUGUUGUUUGCCUUUCCCUUUUGUGCUCAUGUUUUGGACUACAUAAAAGAUGUAGAUAUACGAUGGUUUUAAGUGAAAGAAGUGUUGUCCUUAUCUUUAUCACAUUGAAUUGCCAGGAUAUAAACCGUGGAAUAUACUGACCUCUUUAUUGAUUGAUUUUCUAGAAUACAAUGGUGGAAUGUACUCAAGCUUGGUUGUAACUUGUUAGUCCAAUUUGCUAUUUAUGAAUGUUUGAAUUUUCCUUUGUCGUGUUAUUGAUGUUGUGUAGCAACUUUCUAUAGCAAUGUGAAUUUAUCUUAAUGGCAUGGCCGUGUUUGUGAGUAGUUUUUUCUUUGUUGUGGUACUUCAAAUCUACGUUUAGAUGCUUUAUUGUGCAAACAAAAGUUAUGCUAUAAAGCUGAGAGUUAAAUUAUUAAGCAUCAAAUGUGUAGAUUUAAAUUGUUUAUUAAUGUCAUGUAUAUUGUUCUGCUUUACUUCCAAGAAGGCUGAGCUAUAUAGAAGUUGAAGUGCUGAACUUGUGGACAGAAGUCUUCUUUUGUUUCUCAACAAUGAAGGCCAAGCUUAUGAGAUUAUAAUCACCUGCCUGCUUUUAUUUAUGUCUCCAUGUCGCAUUUACUUGUUGUUUAGGCUGAUUGUCUGUCAUAUAUGUGGGUAAUUAAGCCAGUUAUUGAUCUUUCUACGUUUAUUUUUUCCAGUAUGCUAUAAAAACCCAUAAAUUUUUAUGUGAAUGACAACUUGGAAUCUAUUUCAGGUUGAUGGAAACUACAGGAAUGCAGUCAAAUUGGUGAUUCAUCUUAGAGAAUCUGGAUUAAAGCCUGAGAUCUACGCCUACCUCAUUGCAAUGACAGCUGUUGUCAAAGAGCUAAAUGAAUUUUCUAAAGCUCUACGCAAGUUGAAAGGUUAUUCGAGGUCUGGUAUGGUAACUGAACUUGAUGCUGAGAAUGUAGAGCUUGUUGAGAAGUAUCAGUCAGAUCUUCUAGCUGAUGGAGUAUGCUUGUCCAGUUGGGUCAUUCAGGAGGGAAGUCCUGCACUUUAUGGUGUGGUUCAUGAGCGACUUCUUGCCAUGUAUAUUUGUGCUGGCCGUGGGCUUGAUGCUGAAAGACAGUUAUGGGAAAUGAAGCUUGUUGGUAAGGAGGCUGAUGGAGACCUUUAUGACAUUGUUUUAGCUAUCUGUGCAUCUCAAAAGGAGGCCAGCGCCGUAGCACGGUUGCUCACUAGAAUAGAGGUUGCAAGCUCUAUGCGCAAGAAGAAAUCAUUGUCAUGGUUGUUGAGAGGUUACAUUAAAGGUGGACACUAUGGUGAGGCUGCAGAAACACUAAUUAAGAUGCUUGAUUUGGGUUUGUCUCCAGAUUAUUUAGACAGAGUAGCGGUGAUGCAGGGUCUGAGAAAAAGGAUCCAACAAUGGGGAAAUGUUGAAUCUUAUCUUAAGCUUUGCAAGCGCCUCUCUGAUGUGAAUUUGAUUGGACCUUCUCUUGUAUAUCUGUAUAUAAAGAAAUAUAAGCUUUGGAUCAUGAAAUUGCUUUGAGUGACCCCUCGAGUGGAAUGAGGCCUCAAGAGGCUUUUGAAUCUGGGUUUGUGAUUGUGAUGAAAGCAAGGUUUAUAGAGUCUAGAAUUCACAACACCACCAUUAUUAUAAAUACCUUCGAAUGAGAAGAUUGUGUACAUUGAUUGGGAUGGCUUCACGGAGGUGCAAGAAUAUGGGUAGAGAGUCUAUGAUGCCAAAGCGGAUUUUGUCUCCACUAUUUUGUUCUCUAGGUCCUGUAGCUGUUUGUGUAUGUGAUAGAUGCUGUAAACAUAAUAAAGAACAUUCAACACAAUGUAACCAAGCUGCGUAUAUAUCUUACAGGUAUAUUCUUAUACUAGGAGCCCUCUCCAUCACACUCUUCAUUAUUUUGCAAACCAAGAUCUCUAUCUAGCUUUUGCUGCACUUGUUGACAAGUACCAAGUAACACUGGUCAGCCUUGAUUUGAACUGCAGUAGCCGUACAUGCAUAUUGUAUCAUGGCAAAAAUAGGAUUCAGUGAAGACUACUUGGAAUGAUGAAGUAUGCUUUUACUUCAAUUAUGUUUGGUUGCAUCUUUAUAAAUUAUUAAAUGUGAUCUCGGUGAUGAGUUAUGAUCAUUGACACUAGCCUUUUCUUACUUCAUAGCUGAAUACCUAACUGAACAUCUGGACUAGUUAUUGGCUCGCAUAUGUAAUGAUAUGAUCUGCAAUGUUCAAAAUCUGUCACUCGGAGCCAGUAUGUUUACAGAAACUGUCAUGCUUCCGGUUCUGCCAAACUAUUGCUGGACAUGGUGGACAAGGAACAGGAACUUCAUUCUCCGUGUUUGCUGUUAGAUAUUCUCUAGGAUCAGGGUUUCUUUAUUAAUUCUAGUUAGGCCUUGAUAUUAUCUUACAGAACUUCUGAAAACCUAACCAAGAAUAAAAAACUUGGCAAUGUUAAAGCUUUGGGACCGUGAACUUGUAUAUCGGCAGGGAAUUUAUUUAUAUCCAGUAUAGGUUGGGUUUGGAUAAGCUAUACGGUGUUGAGAACCCCCUUGUGGGCCAUUUGAUUUGUGAAAUGCACUUGGUAGUGAAUCCUUCACAAGAUACGGUGGCCGCAUCUUUUGCUGCCCCUUUUACAUGUUCGAAGGUUGUCAAUAUGGUGGCAGAACCACCAGGUGGGUGAGUGGCGAAGUUGGGAUUAAUUUCUAUAAUGAGAGCGGGAGAGCAGAGCCAUAUAAGGUUGUAAUUUAUGUUCAGUCUUUUUUGGUAAACUUUGUAUGAUUAAUAAUUGUUUUUCCCCAUUAACGCUCAUACCAUUGCUUUCGUUCUUUCCUGUCGCUCUUUUGUACGCAUGCAAAUUCUUAGCUCCACUGAAAAUGUGUAGCCAACCUAUAACCUAAAUACCAUUAUGUUUUGUAUGAUACAGUUCGCUACAAAAUCUUUCAAAUUAUUUUUCGCGAAAAUCUCAUCCAAAUGAAUUGGAUUGGAUUCUUCUCGUAUAUACAGCAUUUUUUUUUUUUUGAAAGUGAGGACAUGGGGUUAAUUACAUUACGUGUCCCUAAAGAUUUAGACAUCAGUUAUUUUAACCCUUGUACCAUAAUUUUAGGCGUGUUCCGCUCGUGGUGAUCACAUGCUCAUGCGGUCUCUCGAUGACACAACUCGUGUUCAUCGGAAUUAGACUAACGAUAUUGCUUGCAGUGUAAAUUUUUUAAAUUUAUUUUUAUUUAACUAUACGAUAAUAAAAAAAUUAUAAAAAAUGCAGAUAAAAUUAGGAAGAAAAAAUAAUUUUCAUCAAAAUUGUAUUCAUGUAAUUUUUUUUACAACAAUUUUUUUUUUAAUUAGCAAUAUAUCUCAUUAAAUAAAAUAUAAUAACAAUAUAAAAAAAUAUUCUAAAAAAAUUAUAAUGAUUUGAAAUAAAUAAAUAAAUAUUUUUAAUUAAACCCUAAUUUUUUAUUCCUAUAUUUCUUUUUUUAUUUUGAUAAAAGCAUGAUUUUUAAGAAAAGUAUUGUUUUUUAAGUAAAACUUUAUUGUGAUUAUAAAAUAAAGUUUCAAUUAAAAAAUCAUGAAUAAAUAUUUUUAUGCACCUAUAUGAAAAAAUUAAGGAAUAGUAAAUUUGAGAAAUUAUAUAAAAAUUUAAAAUAAAAAAUAAAUAUUUUAUUCUCAUUGAAUAUUAAUGAGAAUAUUAUUUUAAUUUCAUUCAAUAGUAAUGAGAAGAUUAUCAUAUUUUUUUUCAUAUGAAGUUAAUACAUAACUAUUUAUAAAAUAAUAACUAACAUCAUCAUAGAAAAAACCCUAAUUCUCUUAAAAACAGUGACAUGAUUGGAUAGUUCCUUAAAUAUUACUUUAAUAAAUUGACUUGAAGAUUUUUUUAUCAAAAAAUAAAAAUAAAGAAUAAGGAAAAAAUAAAGGGACACUUAAGUAAAAAGCGAAAUGUGUUUGCCUUAAGAUAAAAAAUUUAGGCGCACACCACUGGAAGGCUAAUCCUAUGCCCUUAGGCUUUUAUUUUCAACAACCAAACAGCACAUUAUUUAUCUUUAUAUAUAUAUAUAUAUUGCCUACCAAGUAGAUAACAUAUAUAUCUUUUAGUUGAUUUUUUAUUAAAAAAUCAAGAUUUGAGUUUCGAGAACCUAAACAUUUUCAACCUUAUUUAUUUAAAAUACCCUAAAAAUAUCACAAAACCUCAAGGAAAUCAUGUCAAAACCAAAAAAAAAAUAUAAUCACUCUAAAAACCAAUUGGAUAAAAAAAAAUUACAAAUCUCGAUAUACUUUUUAUGACAUAUCUAAAGAAAACACAAUUUCCACUGAACUCCUCUUUUAAUUACAAAACAAUUGACACCGACAUCGAGUUUUUCAAAGCCAGAACAUGGUCAGCCAAACACUUCCUCUUUUCUUAUUUUUUUUCUAUAAUUUUUUCUAUUUGCUCUUAAAUUUAAGGACUAAAAUAUAAAAAAAAUAAAAUUUAGAACUUAAAUACAAAAACCUCGAAACACAGGGACAACAAAAAAACUACAUGGCCAAGCUAUAGUUUUACAUGUAUCAUGAACAAUAAAUAGGCAAAAUAUCUAUUUUGCAGUGGUAGCAUUAGUCCUUGUUGUUUUAAUUGUUUUUAAUUAAUAAAAAUAUAUUAUAUUUUAUAAUUUUAAGCUUUAAUUUAAUGUUAGGGUGUUUUUUUUCAUUAUAUUUCAUAGUACACAAACUGUAAUAAAUUAUAAAGAUUAAAUUAAUACCAACAUUGAAAAAAUAAUUUUUUCAAUGAUUUGAAAAAAAAGAGGGUUUGACUCCGCUAAAGUAAGCAGCCACCGCUAAAGUAAGCAGCCACGGCUAAAGGCACAGUAAAAAGUUAAUUCAAUUUUUUAUAAUAUAAUAUAACGUCUGCCAUAUGUUGGCACGUGCACACUUACAAGUGGACGGAUGUAAAACAUAUGAUCAAAUUGAAAAUGUGAGGGAUGGCAUAACCAAACCUGCAGCACGAGUCAAAAUUAUGAAAAUCUAAAAUUUGGAGGACCAGAGUGGGCUCUACCUAGUAUGUGUUUGGAGUUCCGUCCAGCAACGCUUGCAAAAGUUUUUAAUUUUUUUUAUUUGUAUUUAUAUCGUUUUAUACACUAUGUUAAAAAUAAAUUUUUAAAAAUAAAAUAAAAAUAUUAUUUUAAUACAUUAAAAAAAAAUAUUUUCAAAAUCUUUCUUCUCUCUAUUAUUAAGACCCCCCUGUAAAUGUGUGAUUUACCGACAAGUGAUAAGAGGCUUGUUUUAAGAUUUAUCACAUGAAGAAGUCUUAAAGCACGUGAACACACUUCUUGUCUGACUAGGACUGUUUCAGGCUGCGCAUAUAUUCUGCUUUCUCAUUGUCUUCUUUUUUUAUUCCGAGCUUGCAUGGUUUUUCCAGGCUUGUUGUGUCCACUCCACCCAUGGUAAUCCAUUGGAGGCUCGUAGUGAAAGGAGCAUCCUAGUAUAAUUUUCUUUUUUAUAUAUAUAUAAAAUAAAGGAUUGGCUUAGAUCCAAUGUACCUAACCAUCAAUACUUUGGUCUAUACGUGUUCUCCUUUUUCAAAUUCCUGAGCAGUGAUUGGUCCUCUCACAUGACAUGUGCACGUGUCGGGUUAGAAGACCUUGCGGCUUAAUAUAUCUAGAUGAUGUAAUAUAUGCAAAUCUGAAAUUGGGAUUUACGCUGGAGUGGAACUAAAAGAAUAGGUGAGAUGAAGACAUUUCACCAGGCAACCAAGCUCGUAUUUGGAAGCAAUGGAUGAUGGAACAAUGCAUCUUGUCUUCUAAAUAAUUAUUUGAACGUGUAAACAAACUUAUCAAGGAAGGAGGGUGCUGGAAGUUCAUAAUUAUCAAUUAUGAUUUUAAAUUCUGUUUUCUGUCAUCAAAUAACAUCAUCUUUAAUGAAUGGUGAAGUUUGCUUGCAACAACAAUGUUCUUGGAGCGCAAGUGUGAUUUGCUCAUGUGACUGUAAUCCAUCAGCAGAUCCAGUUCCAUUGACUAUUCUUUUCAUCAAUUCUCUAAAAUAACCUUUAAUGGGGCAUUAGGUUAAUGCUAGAUGAUCACUCCAAACCAAGGAGAGAGAAUCUUCAAAAUGAAUCCUAAUUAAUUAUGUUUAAGGAUUUACCUGGGUCAAAUUAAAAGAUUUAAUUAGGUGUGAGGAUUUGAUUAUACUUUUAAUGGGUUAAAUUAAUUUUAUCAGGGACUUAAUUGAUGAUAAAUUAAGUUUAAAAGUCCAGUUUGAAAUUGAUGUUUCCCUAGGGGGGGGGGAAAGAGCUGAUAAAGAUGUGGAUCUGUUUGGUAUUGAUUUGACGCAAGAACCUACUUUAUUAUUAUUAUUAUUAUUAUUAUUGAUUCAUAAGAUUUACUCCAAAGCUCCACGCCUUUGCUUAGCAGACAAAUUUGGGGCUGCUAAUAAAAUCCGCAAUCACAAAUGGAAGGAAAAGCAGCUUGAUUAACCUAAAAUACCCUUCCCCUCUAGCGUUGACCGUUGAUGUUGAUAUUGAUGUGGCAAAGAUGGAGUGGUUGUUGAGUGCAGAACAGAAACUCAUUAGCACUGGAGGGAGCCACCAAAUCAACCAAAAACUUUCAGGUCACCAAAACAGUCGAAGAGGGGCCUACUGCAACUGUAUAUCCGGUGAGAGAGAUAGAAAGAGAGAAAGGACACACACAACUCUCACAGGAAUCUAUUCCAUAAAAGAAAAGGAUAACAUGUCCAUAGUCUAGAAUCCCAAAACUCUCCUCCUUUUUUCUCAAGAACCAAACACCAUUUUUAGCCUAACGGCCUGUCUCUGUCUCCCCUCUCUGGUUUUUCUACUUUGGAGUUGUUUCCACUCUGCAGUCUAGAGGUAUUAAUUAUAUAACGUUUACAAAUAUUUUCUCGUUAAAUUCGUCCUUUCUUUUUUGCAUUAACUGUUUAUCUUUAUUUAUCAAAACUUUGCGAAUCUCAUGAUGUUCUAGAUGGAUAGAUAGAUAUAGAGUAAAAAAUGCAUGGUUUUAAGCUCCUUGAUAGAUUCAAGAGCACCCAAGUCCAUGCUUUAAGCCCCCAAGAUAGUAACCCCUGUUCAAGAGGCAAACUUUCGAAAUGUAAAUUUACAAACACUGGCUCAGUAGCUCAAGCUUUGCUCCCUUGUGGACUCCCAACAACUGAGCUCCUUGAACCUUCUAUAGACUCUUACUUGAAACCUAUAGACUAUGUGGAAUCUUUAGCUGAAAUUUAUAGACGCCUAAAUACCUGCUCGCAAACCGAUAAAUCAUUAUUAUGCAUCGAGCAGUUUUCGAUUUUGCGAGGAUUAGGUGAUCCUAAGUUGCUUAGAAGGUGCCUUUGCGCAGCAAGGCAAUAUGCUAUUGAUGUGCACUCAAAGGUUGUGCUUUCUGCCUGGUUAAGGUUUGAGAGGAGAGAAGACGAGUUCAUUGGUGUGUCAUCAAAGGAUUGUAGUGGGUACAUCCUUGAAUGUCCUAUGGCUGCUUUGGUUUCUGGAUGCGAUCCCAAUUCGAUUUAUGAUCAUUGCCAAUGCGGUCAAGAUAAUCUUGAGGCGGUUGAUAAUCAAAUAUUGAUGGGAAAUGAAGGCUCCAGUUUGGAGGAGGAUAGUGAUGUUUCAUUUUGCAUUGGUGAUGAGUUGGUUCAUUGUGUUAGAUUCAAAAUUGCUUCUCUUUCGAGCCCAUUUAAGGCAAUGCUAUAUGGUAGCUUUGUCGAGUCAAGAAGAGAUAAGAUUGAUUUUUCAAAGAUUGGGAUAUCUGUCAAGGGGAUGAGAGCUGUGCAAGUGUACAGUAGGACUGGGAGAGUUGAUUUAUUUUGCCCUGAGAUUGUUUUGGAGUUGCUUUCUUUUGCAAACAGGUUUUGUUGUGAGGAGUUGAAGUGUGCUUGUGAUGCUCAUUUGGCUUCAUUGGUCUGUGGGACUGAGGAUGCGUUGAUUCUUAUCGAUCAUGGCUUGGAGGAAAGGGCAAAUCUUCUCGUAGCCUCUUGUUUGCAGGUGUUUCUAAGAGAGCUCCCAAAUUCUUUGUAUAACCACAAAGUGAUGAGUGUUUUUUGUAAUUCAGAGGCAAGGGAGAGAUUGGCCAUGCUGGGCCAUGCUUCCUUCUUGCUCUAUUAUUUCCUGAGCCAGGUUGCCAUGGAGGAGAAUAUGGCAUCAAACGCAGCAGUGAUGUUAUUGGAGGGGCUGGAAGAGUUUGCAACAGAAAAGUGGCAGAAGGCACUUGCUUUGCAUCAACUGGGUUGCGUAAUGCUCGAGAGAAAAGAGUACAAGGGUGCCCAAUUCUAUUUUGAGGCAGCUGUCGAGGCAGGUCACGUUUAUUCAUUAGCAGGUGUUGCAAGGACCAAGUACAAACAAGGGCAACAAUAUUCGGCAUUUAGGUUGAUGAACUCUCUUAUUUUCAAGCAUAAACCAGUUGGGUGGAUGUACCAAGAGCGAUCUCUGUAUGGUGUUGGACAGGAGAAGAUAAUGGAUAUGAAUACUGCAACUGAACUGGAUCCAACCCUUUCAUUUCCAUACAAAUUCAGAGCUGUUAUGAAGGUGGAAGAGAAGCAGAUUAGAGCAGCUAUCACAGAGAUUGAUAAAAUUAUCGGCUUCAAGCUCUCACCUGAUUGUCUUGAGUUGAGAGCGUGGUUCUUCAUUGCUCUUGAGGAUUUUGAAAGUGCUUUGAGAGAUAUUCGAGCACUGCUAACCUUGGAACCAAAGUACAUGAUGUUUCAUGGGAGGGUGAGUGGAGAUCACUUGGUUGAGCUUCUCAGCCAUCGCAUUCGGCUAUGGAGUCUGGCCGACUGCUGGAUGCAACUUUAUGAACGAUGGUCUUCUGUCGAUGACAUUGGCUCUCUGGCUGUCUUACAUCAGAUGCUGUCAAAUGAUCCUGCAAAGAGCCUACUGUGGUUUCGGCAAUCUUUGCUUCUUUUGCGGUAAGUUUUGUGAUGGAACAAUUUUUUAUUUUGCUCAUGCAGCUGUACUAUUUAUGCAGAAUAAUCAUCAAGUUCGACUUCUAAAUCGGUGUCUGCAAUCUUUGGAAACCUGUCAUCCCUUGGAUGUUUUUGUGCAGCAAUCUUGUUUAUCUUUCCAUCAAGAUAAUAUACUAGUAUCCAAGCCGAAAACACAAUCCUUUCAUACAUGUUAUCUUAUAAACUCAUCCAAUUCACUCCACGAAUGUUGUCAAAAAUAAAGUGAUCCUAUAUUUAUUUUUUCUUAAACUGAUAUAAUGAUACUAAAUCAGCUCAUCAUUUUUUUCUCCAUGAUCAUACUUAUGCACUUCUGAAACAAGGAAGGUGUUUUUCCUGUCCAUGUAUUAUAACGAAUUUGGUCUUGUCUUGUAGCUGUCUGGCCUUGUUAUAUUCAAUAGCUUAUAUUCAAUAGCAUGAAAUAUACUGGAUACCUCAAUGCACCAGGUUAAAUUGUCAGAAGGCUGCAAUGCGCUGUUUGCGGUUGGCUAGAAACCAUACCAGUUCUGUGCACGAAAGGCUGAUAUAUGAAGGAUGGCUUUUAUUCGACUCUGGCCAUCGUGAAGAAGCUCUCUCUAGGGCUGAGAAAUCCAUUUCGAUCCAAAGGUCAUUUGAAGCUUUCUUCCUUAUGGCAUAUACAUUAGCUGAUACGAAUCUGGAUCCUGAAUCUUCAUCUACUGUCAUCCAACUUCUGGAGGAAGCUCUUAGAUGCCCUUCAGAUGGUCUUAGGAAAGGACAAGUGAGUAGUGACUAUAUCAGUAUGUUUCUCUUAUGGCCAUCUGUGCUCGAUGUCCUUGUUUGAUAUGAGUGUCGGCAUUUUGCAGGCAUUGAAUAAUUUAGGAAGUAUUUAUGUGGAUUGUGGUAAGCUGGAUCAGGCUGCAGACUGCUACAUGAAUGCCCUUAACAUCAAACAUACAAGAGCCCAUCAAGGUCUAGCGCGUGUCUAUCAUUUAAAAAAUCAACGAAAAGCUGCAUUUGAUGAGAUGACCAAGUUAAUAGAGAAGGCACAUAGUAGUGCAUCAGCAUAUGAGAAACGAUCAGAAUACUGUGACCGUGAGAAGGCAAAAGAUGACCUUAAUAUGGCAACACAACUGGAUCCUCUAAGAACAUACCCAUACAGAUACAGAGCAGCAGGUAAUCAUCACCACUCCGUUUUGGAAAUUCUGCCUCCUUUCUAUGCAACUCCUCAAAAGUUCUCACGGUUAUUCCAAUGUCAUUCCAUUGACUUCAUCUUUCUUCCCUUUGCUUGAACACAAUUAUUACAUGUAAAAUCUAUACUUCUACUGACAUGAAGAAUCUCUUAUUCCCAGUGCUAAUGGAUGACCAAAAGGAAACUGAAGCUUUAGAAGAGCUUACUAAGGCCAUAGCUUUCAAGCCUGAGUUGCAAAUGCUCCAUCUUCGAGCGGCAUUUUAUGAAUCAAUGGGAGACAAAACCUCUGCUCGUCAAGAUUGUGAGGCAGCUCUCUGCCUGGACCAAAACCACACGGACACACUUAAUCUGUACAAUAGAACACAGGACCAAGCUACAAGAAGCAUUUAAGUUACACCAAUGUCAUUGAUGUAGAAUGGGGACUUCAACAAUAAUCAAGGGGGACAGCCACGCCGAUCAUUUUUUUUAUUAUUGGAAAUCAUGGUCUAUCAGGCAUCCAGGGACAAAUUCAUCCCAUCAAUGAGAAGGACAGACCGCGUCAAGGAGCAAUAAUGAGCUCAUUUGUACAUAUAUGAUAUAUCUUUAUGGUAUUGAUGAUGGAUCUAGAAAAGCGUGUGCCAACGGCCCAUGGACAAUGUCACUAGCAGAUAGUUAUGUACAGCCAUGGCCACAUGAUCAGUAAGCGGAAUGGGAUUGAGGCCGAAAGGGUUUUGCUGCAACUUCUUGCCAUUGUUUCUCUAGAAUGGUAUAGGUUUCACAAUUUGUAUCUCGUUAGAAACGGGAUUUUUUGGCCCCCUCUUGAGCUCGUCAUGUACAAGAACAAAAGUCAGGAAGGAAUUUAAAUCUCUUUUGUUGUACAUGUGUUUCUUUAUAUUACAGAUAGAAAAGGUGAUGGUAUCGCGUUAACUACUCUUGUAGUCCUGCAUUGCAUUUCUCCAGCUGACCACUUUCUGGCCUCUGCUUUUGUUUUCACCUCAUUUUUUCUCUUCUCUUGUAUUUUCCCAUGCUUACCUUGCAUUUUGGCUGAGUGAGAUCGUAUGUAGUAACUAAAAGGAAUUGGGUUCUGUUUUCAUUGAGAGAUCCUGGGGGCUGAGAUUGCUCUAAGCUCCCCACCACCCCCUAACAAGAAACGCAUAGUGUCAUAAAGAAAGGGUGAUAAGUGUUUGAAGAAUACAGCAGUGGACUUUGACUCAAAUCUUUUCAUCCCGGAGUACUUGAAACUGGUAAUAUUAAAAAAACUGAGCAUUUAUUUAUCUUGCAAGUAUACUUCAGAUACUUGAAUUUUAUACAGCCAGCUUUUGGCAGUGGCAAAAGAACAAAGCAAUGGACAGACCAGAGGUCUCCCUUCCUCAGUUAUAUACAAACAUCAUACUCUACGUUACAUUAGAUACAAGCAUUACCUACCCUAUAAACAACUGCUUCUGAGAGAUCAGCAAGAGAAUCAGGGAAAAUAAUAGUUAAAGGAACAUGAAAAGAACACUUAAAUCCAUAUUUCAGACUUAAGUACUUCUCAACUUCCUUCUGUAGACAUAAUUUCAAGUUCAGCCCACCAAAGGGGUGAUAAUUUUGGUGUUGCUCCAUCAGGUUCCAUUGCUGUGAUCUCUUUUAACUUAGAGGCAAUCUCUUUCAUCGUUGGUCUCUGUUUUGGAUCAGGAUGGAUGCAAUUUCUUAUUACUUCGGACAGUUUCUCGAGCUCAUUCUCUUGGAAAGAUUUUAGAGUUGGAUCCACUAUUUCUUUUAAGGAUCGCUCUCCUCUCAGAUAGUCUGAUGCCCAGUCGGCAAGAGAGCCAUUGUCCACUGCAUAUGGGAUCCUGCCAGUUAUCAUUUCAAACAAAAUUACCCCAAAACUGUAAAUAUUGCCCUCUGGAUCUGAUGUUUGGGAUUCUAAAAGCUCCAUGGAUGCUGAUCCAAUCUUUGCUGCUGUUGCAUCAUUCCCAAAACUGAAAUCUGAUAUUUUAGCUGCAUAGUCUUCAGUCAGAUAUAUUGUCGAUGACUGCAGGUGUUUAUGGGCUAUAGGUGGAGUUAGUUGAUGCAUGUAAUCGAGGCAAUAUGCCAUGCCCAUUGCUAUUCGUAAUCUCAUUCCCCAGUCCAAGUGUUCAGCUUCUUUUACUACAAGAAAUCAAGAAUUCAAUAGUCAUCUAUACCAUAAAACAGUUAUAUAGGUUCAGUCACUGCAAUUUCAACGACUUAUAAAUGGUAUGGUGCAUUAUGCGGUCUACUUAAUGAAGUAGAUCAGCUGCCUGUAUAGAGCUGCAGAAAAAUAUAAGGAUACGAAUAUGAUUUGCAGUUCCUAGAGGGUACCAAAUGGAUAAGAACAAUCCAAUUCUUCUUUUGAGAUGCAUAUUUCAGCUCUAUGAAAGAAAAAAAAAUCAACACUAUUGUUCAUAGAUUGAACAAGAGCCGGUACUGAUUUUUUCUUCACAGAUAUGAUGAGCGCAGUCCUAUAAAAUGCCAUAUUAAUUUGAUGAUCCAACAGAAUGUAACUACAAUCACUUGACCAAUUCAUAUGGAAAUGGAGCACGUAUCAGAAAGGGCAUUAAAAACAUAAUGUACUUACCAUGCAGAUGUUCAAAGAGAGUUCCAUUUGGAGCAUAUUCAAAAACCAUCAUUCUUGUGAAAGGAUCAUUUUCUUCACAAAAUCCAAUAAGGUUCACAAAAUUCUUGUGGUUCAUUUUUGACAAUGUGUCGAUCUGAAAAAAUUAGCAAACGUAGCAUUUAGGGGAGCCCAGAUUAAAUGGAUGAAGCUUAGCAAAUUUCAAUUUCAAGUACCUUCUUUCUGAAUUGUGCUUCUAAAUUCUUCAACCAGUCUUCAUGAGAUCUUACUGCAGUAGACAUCACAGCAAUUUCAACGCCACUUGAUAGUGUCCCCUUGUAUGCCGUGCCAUCUGAAAAGGAGCCAAUUAUGUUACUGAAAUCUUCACAAGCAGCUUCAAGUUCUGAUCUCUUGAGUUUUGGCACACCUGAAAGACACAUUACCAAAAGUGAGGAAAGGCAACAUCGAAUCAAAAUCUAUGCUUGUAUAUUAGUGGAAGCAAUAGAUGAUAGAGCAGUUCUUAAGGAGCAAUGUUAAUCCAGAAAUUUUAUGCCUCUAUGCUUGGAGGUUUCAGGUUGUUGUGUGUGUGCACACGGGUGUGCGGGCACACAUGCGUGAUCCAUAUGAAAAGGAAGAUUGACCUGUUACAAAUGCGUUUUGUAGCUGCCCACUUAGGCCUGUGGCCCAAGGUCUGACAGUGACUACCUUGCUGCUUCUGAAGAAGAAAAUGCCAAUGGCUGAAAUCAAAGCGAACAUAGAGCCAGCAAUAACACCAGCAAUGAGAGCAGUGUGAUGUUUUGACUUUGAUUGUCCCAAAUGAUUUGGACUUGGAGCAGGGACCAUUGACAUCCAAUCACGCUGUGGUGGUACAAUAAAGACACUAGGUGGAUUUUCUGGAGCAGGUGAAGCUGGAUUUGGUGCGAUCAUGGGUGAGGGGGAAGGGGGGAAAGGAAAAGUGGAGGAGUAUUCUGCUGGAGAAAAUGACGGAGACUCUGAAGGAGAUGGUGAUGGGGAAAAUGAUGGUGAUGGUGAUAAAAAUGGUGAGUCUGAGGGUGCCAGUGAUGGUGAUAAUUGAGAUCCUUGAGGAAAAAAAGACGGUGAAGGCGAUGCUUCAGAACCACUUUGAUGUGCUUUAUGACGAUUGUUUGCUAUGGGUGGAUUUGGAGCAGCUGCCACCUGCAGCAGCAUCCGAUGAGCUAUAUUUCCAGAAUGAACAAUGUUCCUAACAAAUAAAAGAGGUGCUGUCAGGAAGCUGGUGGGAAAUUAGUUUAAGUUGAGAACUGAAAGUACUUAACCAUGUUAGUAUAACCCAAUCAAGGAGUAGAUUUCAUGACAAAAAUAGCUGACACCAGGCAAAAUUUUAAGGCACGAAAAGUUGCUUCAUGUUUAGCCUCACAUACACCAGGAGGUCCUCUGUUUGCAUUUGCAAAUUUGGGGGAUGGCAGAAUAAAUCAAAAGCUGAGUUUUAAAUUAUGAUUGUGAGUUUAUUUGAUCUAGAUUUUGUGGCCGUAGCAUUCUCCUAUGAGUUGCUUUUAGCUUUUUCUUCAAGUUAUUAUUUCCAAAGUCGUGAACCAUAACCACCUCCCCUCUCACCAGUCACCCCCUACUCUCCAACUUCUUCUGCUUUGACAUCUCUAAAGUGGCUGCACCAAAGAUCAAUUUGUAGGAAUAACAUAAUAGUACUUGCUUACCAAGUAAAAUCUCUGCAGCAACAAGAAGCUCGUAACUGAUUUUCAUCUGCCUGAACUUCAGAAAGCACCAUAAGCUCAUUUAGUUCAGGAGAUACGCUAUCAAGAAACUUGUUAUUGUCAAGCAAGCUGCAAUAAGAAUCAGAGAUGAUUUAGUCAAACCACCCAAGCUCAAGAGGAAAAUACUGGAGAAUAUAAUCAGCUACAAUGAAUUAACGUACAGGGUAGUCAGUGAUAGAUUAUUUGCGAAGUUCGAAGGAAAUGGUCCACUAAAGUUAUUAUAUCCCAAGUCCAACGCCUCCAGCUCCUUCAAUUCUCCAAUCUCUCUAGGAAUGUUUCCGUAGAAAGAAUUGUUGCGUAGAUUGCUGUAUGGAAAAUGUGAAUUAGAUAAACUCUGUAAAAUGGUUUCCAAAAUCAAAUCCAGGCUGUGGUUUAAGCUUACAUUGAUUUUAAGUAAGCUAGCCUUCCAAGUUGAGGUGUCAGUGUUCCUCCAAGACACAGAUUUGUCAGAUGCCUACAAGUUGAACACUUAUGACUUUAAGAAAAUAGAAAAAAUAAAUAAAAACAAAUCUUUUAUUGCAACUAAAAAGAUAAAUAACGGAAUGUUUGAUACAUGCUAGAAGAUAGAUAAACUACAUGAUUACAUCAAAUAAUCAUCGGAUAAAACAGGUAACAUAUAACAUAUGAACAAGUGAAAAGGAAAAAUAAAGAUGACAUGAUAAAAUAGCAAAAAGAAGGGGAAAAAUGCUGGGAUUGCUCCAUGGAGGCCCACAUUAUUAUGAACUAUCUACUGUAGGGACAUCACACAUGCUGCAUUAAAUAGUUUGUCAUCUGAUCACUUCUAAGGGCUGCUUAGAUUCUGCACCGACAAGUACAAAGGCCGGCAACAACAUACACUGUUUAUUCCUUCACUUUAAGUCCAUCUAACCUUUAAAUUGAAUAUGAAAGCUCAAGUUUGGAUCUUGAUCUAAUAAAAGUCAACAAGUGACUUCAGAGUUAGUUGGUUAACUUUAAUGUUCUUCACGAGCAUUUUACAUUUCCAGUAAUAUUCACAUUAUAUUCUAGCUUACAGAAAGCUUUUGCAAACUUACUAUUCAACAGAGACAGAGAAAGAAAUCUGUACUGGUAAUAAUCUACCAUCUCUAAACACAUUGGAUCUUUGAUUCAACUAAAUGGGCUAUCCAAGAUCACAGAUUUAAUUAACUGACAGACACAAAAGAUAAAGAUAAACUCCUGUAGAAGAAGAAUGUUUGAUUACUUACUAUUUGACGACCUCUUGUUAUUAUUUUUAUUUUUUUUAUCCAACAGAAACAAGAGGAUGAAUUACUUACAAGAUCACAACUUUGCCAUCAGAGCAUUCGACACCGAACCAAGAACAAGGAUCAAUAUCUCCAUCUUUCUCAAUCCAAUUCGAUAAAACUCCAAAUGGGUCUGUCUCCACUCUCUCUCUCAAUCUCAACAAAGCCAAACCUGCACCAUUUUCAAACACUUUCACGUUACUAUAUAAAGGAACACCAACUUUUAACUAAGUUGUAAGGCAUGCAAAACAAAAUCUCCCAACCAUAUGAAGAUAAAACAUAGCAUAACUCACCCUCUGUGUUUAGAGACCAGCAAAAGCUAAAACUUUGAUGAAAUAACAACAGAACCAGCAUCAAAACCUCCAUGCGAAGCUUCACCCGGUUCAAUCUCCACCAUCCACCCGUCAUUAAGACAGUCAACAGCUUCUAAAAAUAAUUCUUGGUUACAAAUGUGUCAAAAACCCACUUGGGAGAUAAAGAAGACAAAUAUAUAUAGAUAGACAGACAGACGGAUGGAUAGAUAGAGAGAGAGAGAGAGAGAGAGGAGCUUGAUGGAGUCUUGGCUUGGUAAGUGGGAGCUAGCUAAUUUAGAAGGGGAGAGAAGAAAGCGCGUGCGUAUCGGUGAUCAUACGUGUUUUCAAUUAAAGAUGACAAUCAAGGCCGAAACAUUUAUAAAUGAACGAAAUGCGGGCUAUGCCCCGUUUUAUAAAUAAACUUUAAAAAAUAAAAAAAUAUAUAUUAUUUUAAUAUAUUUGUAAAUAAAAAAAUAACAUUUUGACUAUUUUAAACAGGCUACGAGAGAAUAAAAAAUGUGUCUGCGGCGCGCGAUUCAGUAACACUGGAUUUUGUUUGUCUUGUUCCUGAUAGGAUUGCAUUCGAGCUUGGACUUCGUCUUCUCUUCUCCCCAAAUAAGCUCUAAACACCCCUCCACAACCACGUGCUUGUCACGUGACGUAUAGCAGUGAUUUCUUCUCUGCCCGUAUAAUUUACCUUUGAUUGAUUGAUUGAUCGAUUCCAAGUGCUGCGGUUGCAUGUGUCCGUGGACAUUGCCGAGCACAUUCCUAAGUUUAUAUUUGAUUAAUUUCAAGAAUCUGGAUAUAUUAUCUGUUUAUCAUGUGAAUUUGUCAAUGGUAGGGCACCAUUCUUUAUUUGUCAUACAUUGUUUCUACGCUCAGUUUUGCCAGAGCGUAGGACAGGAAAUUAUUGAGUUGGUGUCUUGCCUAGAAUUGAAUAAUAUUUUUUAAAGGAAAAAAAAUUUGGUUUUUUAUUUAUUUAUUGGAAAUUAAUUUAACGUGGGUACUUAGGUCUUAGCCUAGAGGUAUUAUCUACCAUAAAUACUUUUGGUUGAAAUGCCGAUAUCUAUAGAUUGUAAUAAGAACUAAUUAAAGGUAUAGCCUUUAAUUUGUCUAAAUAAUUCCAUGUACCUAUUUCUAUAGUAUUUUGGAUGGAUAGCACACAUUAAAUCCCAAAACAAUGUUGUUAAAAAUGCUAAUUCCCAAAUAAAUAUUUUAUAACAUAGUAAGUCUAUUUCUAUAUCCAUUCUUCGUACCCUAAAUGUCCAUCUUUGUAAUCAAAAGAAAACAAUGAUAUGGUUUUGAAACAAGAGUCUCGCCCUAUUUAUAUCUGAUAUAUAUUUAGCAUAUAUAUAUAUAUAUAUAUAUAUAUAUAGAAUUUUGGUCAUGGCAUGGGGUGUGGAGGGUGUUUUUCUAGUAUAAAAAAUAAACACGAUAAUUUUAUUAAGCGGGUGCGUGGUUAGUUUAUCUGUACUCUCAAUUUCUUUCACAAAGAAAAGGGUAAAUUGUUUUAUUUAUAAUUUAAGUAGAGUUGGAUAAUUAAUGAGAAAUGAGCUGAUUUUAUAAAUUACAUUAACUAGCAUAGAAAGAUCAUGUAUCACCUUAAUUCAAUCAGUAAUUCCAGCUUCUUCUCAAAUUAACUUAAUGAAAUGUUAUCACCCUUUAUUGAGUGGCCAAAUCUAAAUCUUGUGGCACAUCCAAUUUUGAGUGUGUGUUUUUGCGAUUAAAAAAAUAUUUUUGAGAAUUUUUAAAUUUUUUUAUUCAAAUUAUAUAUAUAUAUAUAUUUCCAACUAAAAAAACUUAAAAAAACAAUACAUUUAUCUGCUGUGUAAAUUAAAGAGGUCCUCUUAAAUCCUGAAUUAGUUCAGUUCCGGCAAGCACAAGGCAGUACUUGAAAAAAAAACAAUGCAAUGUGCAUAAAAAACCACGUAGUCUGCACUUUUGCGUAUAUCCAGCUGUGUGUGUGUGUGUGUGUCUGUGAACAGUUUCACACACUUCAAUCAUUCAGCCAUUUAUGUUGAGUAGAGAUGUUGAUAUAUAAUUGUGUGAUGACAAAUGAUUGUCUCAUAGUAUUUUUACAUGUUUGCCAAGUGGACCAGCUUCAGUUUGAUCACUUAUGUUUGCAGCAGUAUAACAACCAAGGAAUCCAGACAUAAAGAAAAGAAAAGGCCGAGGAGAGAGUGAAUUACAAGAUACAUUCACCUAUAAUAUUGUAUACUGCAUGAAGCAUGAUCUAGAUGAUGAGACUAUAUAUAUAUAUAUAUAUAUAUCAAAAGGUAGCAUAUCAUGGGGAAUCAUGGCUUCGAAGAUAAGCACUGAAGUUGGGGGAUCGAGGGAUAUGAUUAAGAUUCUUCGAACUGGUUGAAAAUGAUUUAUGAUCUUCAUUGAGCAUGAUUUAUCUUGAGUUGCAUAGCGGCCAUUAAUGUAUGGAGAGUGGAAACCUUCUUCUUGCAGGUUCUGUAAUAUCAAUUAUGAGACCUGACAUUAUUUAUUUAAAACUGCUCUCGCAAGAUACAGCGACCCUCCUGAUGCAUUGCAAAUUCUUAGUUUUCUGGUUUCUACGUAUAAUCCAUUUGAAAAUGUUUAAAGAAGAUAGAGAUGCCUUAAGACGAUCGAAUUAACCAUCCUGUAAAUGCUCGAGGUAUUUGAUCAGUGUUAGGAGGUGGGAUCUUUCUAUCGUUUUGUUAAUUUGUGUGAGAUAGAGAUGACUAAUAUUGUUUCUUGAUUAUGAGACAUUAUUUUAAAUUAUUUUUUUCGUUGGGAUUAGCCAAAAAAAAUUGUUUUUUUGUGUUUUAAAAAUGUUUUUUAAAAAAAUUAAAUUUUUAUUAUUAUAUUUACGAAAAGAAUAAUUGAUAGUCCUACUGAACAGUGACACUUAAAUUUGUUUAUCUACAUAUGCUUGGAUCAUAAUGACCAGUGGCAAUCAAUAAAAUUGUGCAUCAUGUGGUUUUGUAUUCUAACUAGUUAGCUACUACACAUGGGGGUAUUAGAGGCUGGACCCAGGAUCGGACCACCGCAAGGGCACAAACACACAAGGCUGGCCAGGGCUGGACCACGUACGUACGAUUACUUGCUCCUGAGUUUUUAUGAGUGUUGUUCACGGGUAGAGUCAUCAUGCUCAUGACGUGGAUUGGGGGCACAAAAUCCUGUUUCCUCGUCUAAAAUGACAAGGUAACCUCUGGGAGCGAUAAGAAAACGCCGUACGAGCUAUUCAAGUAGUGACAUUGAAUCUUUUUUUUUUUUUUUUUUGAACUUUUCAGCAUUUUCUAUUUUUGAUAAAGAAAACGUAAAUCUUUGGUCUGUAGCAAGGUUCUGAGAGGCCACUCUAGCAAUGUAGAACUGGUCUUCAUGCUGGCUUAAUCGGACUCAAAUUUUCAAAUACAUUAACCAGAUUAAAAAGUUACGGCGAGUCAAGUAAUACAGAACCACCACAUCUGGCAAUGCCUAGCCCUAGCCCAUGCCGUGUUGAGAAGAAGCUAUUUAUAGCACAUAACGCGUUCACGAGAGAGAGGGAAGAUGGAUAGGAUCGUGGAUGCUUUCCCGAUUAUAAUUAACACGAGCAUUUCCAGGUGCAUCGUUGCAAAGGUUCACGGGCUGAGAAGCUUGUCAAGGCCCCAGAUAAUAAACUAAUUUAUAUGUAGUAUAUAUAAAAUAAAAAAAGAAAACAAAAACAGAUAUAUAGACCGACAUUUGAGUAUUUGACUCUGAGAAUGGAAAAUAAGACCGGAUAUGUCGCCACCAUCUUGGAGGGUGGACCAAACAGAGCUUUGCUAAAAUUCAAAAAAAAAAAACUUAAAAUUUAUUUUUAUAUAUAUUUUUAGAUUUGUUUUGAUUUAUGAUGUUAAAAAUAAAAAAAAUUUAAAAAAAUAUUAUUUUAAUAUAUAUUUUAAAAAAAUACGUAUCAAUAAUCCAAAACACCCCUACUGAAACCUUGGGCAUAUUUAUAAUUAUUUCUCAACAAUCAACAAAAUUAGGACUAAUCUAUCUGUGCUUUCGACAGGGCAAAAAGAAACGGGCCCGAAAUACUGGGCAUCUCUUGCUAGGAAUUAUGGGCUAAGAUAUUAUAGCCCAAGAAAAUGGGUAUUCACUUUGGACUGAAGGCUAACAGCUUUUUCUUGGAACCACUUGUUCUAAGAAUUGAAUGAAUUGAUUUUUAAGUAACAGAUUCUUGAAUUGAUUUGAUUUAGUGAAAGAAUUCUUUUUUUUUUAAUAAAAUUUUGAAGUGACGGAAUUUAUUAAAUUCUGAAAUUUGAAAAUUACUAAUAGAUACUAUUUUUUUUAUCAUUUUACCAUAUUACCAUUCAUACACGUAUAAAAGCCAUCAUUUCUUCCAACAUGAGAAUCAAUGGUAUAGCUAGAAACUAGAAAGGUAGGAUUUUUAUGAGAUUUCCCUAAAACGGAUCGAUUUUUUUUUUCUUGCAUAGAGAUCCAUCUCUGAACUUGCCUUGCUUCAGUGUCAAGCUACUGUCUUGAAUCAUGUGAUCAAAACUAGAUAAUGGGUUCAGCCCAAGUUAAUAUUAAACAUGAAUACUCCUGUUUUUAUAUUUCAAAAACAAAUUAAAUUUUUUUUAUUUGUUUAAGAAUUUUUUUUUAUGUAUUUUCAAAUCAUUUUAAUAUACUAAUUAUUAAAAAAUCAAUUCAAUCCAAUAACUUAAGUUUGUAGAUAAAGUUUCAAGAUAUGAUUUAUAUUAUUUUCUAAUACACCUCUUCAAGUGAAAACUUUUUGAGCUUGAAAUUUGCACAGGCUCACACUAUCUUAUACUUAAUUUUUAUCAAAUAAAUAAGGAUAAUAAGAUUUGAACUCCUGACUGCUUGGUCAUCAAGACUCUGAUACCAUAUCAAAAAAUCAAUUUAAUUUCAUAGCUUAAACUUUUAGGUAAUGUCUUAAGAUAUGAUUUAUAUUAUUUUCUAACACUGAUGUCAAAAUUAAUUUUUAAAAAAUAAAAAAAUAUUAUUUUAAUAAAUUUUUAAGUAAAAAUCACUUUAAAAAACAACCACUGGUUGUAUAUCUCACAUGUCGUAUAAAAAAAAAAAAAAAGGAAAAAUAAGAACCGCCAUUUCCUUUUCUAUGAGAGAGAGGGCAGAUCAGUAACAGCAACAAUAACAUUGAAGUUCUUUUAAGGAUAGAUGAGGUAAUAUACGUGGUAACGUUAAAGUAAAAGCCAAGUCCGAGUCAAUCACAGCUCUUCAGCUGCAAUUUCAAGGUGUGACUUCCGUUGAAGAUUUUUUAAAAAAUCGAAUUCAAUUAUUUUGAUAAGAUAUCUUUCCAAACAUGCAUGGGAUUUGAAUAAAAAUGAAAUGAAUAUUGAUUUUCAAACAGCCUGUAAGGCUCCUGGCCUAAGUUCUGGCUGUUGCUGUCGUUCCUCCCAGAUGCAGCCGUGGCCUAUAAUAAGGUUCCUAAAGCAUCAAAUUCAAUUCAUUGUUUUAUCACGAAUAAUCACAUUCACAAGAGUCCAUGACGGCGGGGAAAGGGACAUGCUUACAGUACAGAUGUUGACUUCUGUUGGGGUCCUCUUCUUAUGCUUGGCAGCUUCUCUAAACUGAAUGCUUCCGCUCAUUGUAGUCAGUCGUGAUCAGGUAAGGUUGAGCUCAUCUUCGAAGAAAUUCCCCGCAAGAACCGUUAGAAUAUGAGCUUCAUAAUCAGGCCACAAACAGAAGCGCAGUUGCAUGAUUAUUUCCACAGUUGAUCCUUUCUCUUUUAAUAAUUCAAAGAUUUUUGGAUAACAUUAUCUGAGGUAAAGGAACAAACUUGAGAAACAGUAUCUGCCGAUUACAAGUAAACAGUAUCUGAGAAGCACGCGUAUAGAAUAUAAUUGCUUUUAGUUUAGUGUAUUUAGGCUAUUUAAUUUAUAGCCUGAUUGGCUAUUAUAUUCAUGACCCCCGUGUUGCCAUGUUUUAUAUAUAUAUAUAACUUGAAUAAAGAAUUAAAUAUUGAUAUAUUAAGAAAAUGAACAUUCAAAUUCACUAAUUAGAUAUAUUCUUUAGUGACCAAUUUGUAUUAUCAAAAGAAUUAUUUACAUGUUAAAAGCUUUGUCUAACGAUAAUUUUUGUGAAACUAAUUUGAUUUUAAAUCAAAUAUUAACACCGAUUUAUCUAACUUUUAUAUUAUCAAUUUAAAAAACUCAAAAUAACACUAGAAUGAAGAAAAGUGUCCAAAAGCUGUGUAAAAAAGAAGAAUUUAUCAAAAAAAAAAAAAACAUGGGGAAAUGCUGUGGUGUUUUUAUGCUGCACAAACUGGCCCGUAUAAAGUCGUGUAAUAGCUCAUGUAUGAUGUCAUUGCAAUGCUGCAACCGAUUAAUAACACCAGGAAAUUUCACCACAAAUUUUGCUGAAACAACCUCAUACCACGAACUUUGUUUUUUUGUUUGGCUAAGAAAAAGAUAACCGACGCCAUCAUCACUGAUUAAUCAAUUGAAACAAACGAUUAAGAAUUCGAUUCAUGUCAAUUUUGUUUUAUACAUGGUGAAUAGAAUUAUAAAAUUCUGUAAGCAGAUGAUGAAUAUUUGAUUCCUUCACUGUGUCCUCUGGGUAAGUAUGUACUUCGUUUUGUGUCCUCCAUUUAUGUCCAGCUUGAAACCUUCACCAGAGGAACUUCCAUGUAGCUCAGUACCAUUUGGUUCUCCUUCACUCCUUCGAUGUUCACACAGUAGAAGCUUUCUGUUUCUCUGAUCAAUUCCCUGGCCUCUAGAAGAUUAUCUUUUCUCAUUUCCCAGGCCACCAACCCUACCUCUGAGAGUGCCCUGCUUUCUUUAGCAAUAUCAUCCCACAUUUGCAAGCCAAAAGAAGAAGAAACAUAAGGUAUCAAAAACACGCAUUCCAUGGCUAUUCUUGCUUCUCUUAGAUGGUCAGGGAAAUGACAGUCCAUUGAUUCUAUCAACGCCAUGAACUGAACCAGCUGCCCUGCAAAAACAGAGCCGUAUCCUUUCUGCUCCUUCACUUCCAUGCCCCAACCAAUCCCAUCUCCAAUAGUUAUAGUUCCCCUAGUACCACUACCACCAUCAGUAUUGAGGGUGAUUGAAUCUUUAGCUAACCUUAGAAACUCCCCAAGACUCCUGGCACUCCUCCCUUUCCCCAUGUGAGGGAGACCCACCAUGCAAUUGAAGGCUAACCAUUCCCCUCUUCCACCUCUUUUCUUUGUCUUCUUCAUCUCACUAACCAAAACCUCCAUGUCCAUCUCCUCCAUUUUCAAUCUCAAACCAAAUGUUUGUGCGUGUUCAUAUAACCGCAUUUUCGUCUCCUCAAAACUCCUCGAGGAACCAACACCACUGCAAUCCUCUUCCUCCUCCCAUUUUAUUGCAGUCAAUCUCACCAUUCUUUUGCCUCGCCUCGCAAGUGUUUCGAUCAUUGGAGGCCAUUGCACACCUUGACCAAUGUCAAAGUCAACUAUGUGCACUAUGUCAGCUUCUUCAGGGAUGGCUUCUAGUAUUACAGAAUUGGCAGUAAAAUGAGCAAACCUCCCGUAGGGAAAUAUCUGAUAGAAUGCUUUAAAGGCAGCCUCAUAAUUCUUGCUUGCUUCUUGCCAUAGAAAGUCCACUUCCCCUUCCCGUGCUUGAAUCAAAUAAUAAGCAAGUCGCUCCAGGGUUGAACCAAUAGGGCAUGCCAUCUCUUUUAACCGACUCAUAAUUUUUUCAGCUAACUCUUUCAUCUCCAUCUCCGCAGCCUCUCCAUAAGCCUUGAGCAGAUGGAGAAUCAUCAAUUGGUUAUCAAAUUCCAUGCCAAAACCGGGCAGAACCAAGGAUGUUUGAUUCGUCAGUGUGUCUAUAGAUGCCUCCCUCGAUGGUGGAGAUACAAGCAGGCUCCCUGCAUCAUCUCCAGGGAAGUUUUGCAUAGCACCCCUGUUCUCACUCGCCAACCAAUCAUUUAUAUCCUCAAUUUCUCUUACCGUCAAUGGAUCAUCAAAAGUAAUAUUAGACUCCGGAAUUAGGGAAUAUUUCUGUUCCUCUGGAUGGGACAUGGUGACAGGCAAAUCAUCAACAUGAGUGGGAAAACCUAGAGAAACUGGAGAAAAUGGGAUAGGAGAGGAGAUAUCAGAGAAAUCUUCAAAAAAUACGCAUAAAGAAGAGUCCUCGGGAUAGCUGCCUAAUUGAUCUGUGUUUCGAAACAAUAGGCCUACUUCUUCUAUGGGAUUGUACGUACUUUGCCAUGAAUAACAAGGAAGAUAGUCAACUACCAUAUUUUUUUAUCUUAUUAACUCAAAGCAAAGGCCUUAGUAUUUAUAGGCUUGAUAAUGCUCAACCUAGAAAAUGUCGAGAUGGCACAUCAUGUGGAGUAAAUUAUCAAUUAGUCUCUCUAGUCUCAAGAAAUAAUUUAAUUAGUCCUCUUUAUUUCAAAAAUUAAUUAAUAGUCCCUUGGCCAUUAUUAACCUUGCUUAAUUUAAUAUUAAUUUAUCUCAAAAAUGUUUUCUUUUUCUCAUCAAGGGGGCUAAUUAAUUCAUUUCUCAAUAUUAUAAUAGCUAAUUUAUGAUUUACUCGAGGAUUAAAAAAGUGAUAAAAUUUUAUUUUGAGAUUCCAGGCAUCAUUAUUAUCACACGUAGCCUCUUCUAAUUCAUAAUAGUUCCUGUUUCAAUCAUGAUAAUCAUUCAAGUUUGUAUCAAAAUAUUCUCCUCGAUGCAAAUGACUUUAGAACGAUCCAACUGCAAAAUUCCAUCUUAAUAGUAUACUUUAAUCCAGCAAGUCACUUUAGAUAGAUACAUAAACUAACAAUUUUGGCCCUUUUACAUAAAAAAAUUCAUUAAAAAAACUUUGGCCUGAGGCACAUGGUUCUUCGUCAACGCACCUAAAGUCAUGGAAAUUAAGGUUUAAAGCAAAAGGAGAAAGGUUAAAAUAGCAGUAAUGAUAUUAUGCAAUUUGCUAUAGAUCGAUGAUCAGGUCUCUAUCUAAAGAUUUUUACGAGGGAAGGUGUCGAGUUAGGCUCCAAAAUAUCUUACACUGCAAAUAAAUUCUUACAUUACUACUUCAUACUUGAGUUUCUAAUUUUUUUUCCUUUUAAUUGCCUCUGUUAACGUAGAUUUUUGUUCUAUUCUGCAGAAAAAUAAACAGUAACGUAAAGUAUAUUGUUAUAAUAAGAAGGUGUUUGUCACGACUUAUAUUUCUGUUUUUAGGUAUUUUUAAAAAUUAUCUUUGAUUUGAAAAAAUAUUAAAUGAUUUUUUUAAUAUUUUAAAAUGAUUUUAAUGCAUUAAAGUUAAAAAUAAGAUGAAAAAAUCUAAAAAAAAACUUCCACCGUGAACUUAAACACCCCCAGGAUCGAUCCGAAGCCAUUUUUUGUGAAGAAAACUCUGCUCGCAAUCAUACAAAUUAGAGGUCUCAUUGGAGUAUAUGAUGUCCGUCAGAGAAGAGAAUAUCUCCAUGUGUAGAAUGCUAAAAAUAACUCAACGAAAAUGGCCAUACCGUUACCAUCCACAUCCACAUCCAUGUCAAUUCAAUACAGGAACAUUCUUUCUUACAAAAUAGGGGGUAAAUAAUUAGGAAGAGAGCUGGUAAUAACAGAAGGCCUGCGUAAUAAAAUAAUUUUUUCCAUAUUCCAGCUCACUGAAUAUAAUAUUUUGUCCUGUUUACAUGAAUAUGGACAAAUGCAUCUCAAAUCCAUGGGCUCAUAGAUGAAAAGCCGAAUUAUGGAGUUUUAAUACCGGAUAUAAAUAAGAGUAGUUGUCUGUUGUUGUCUGCCGGAUAUUCUGUUACACGUCUGCAGUGCCACGCUCCAGAAAUGUAUUGGAGAUAUAUAAGCAUUUGCUUCUUUUUCAAAAAAAGAAAAAAGAAAAAAACAUUUCAUGGGGUGAGAGAGGCUCGAACUCUCGACCUCAGGAUAACUCUUUUAGCUAUGAGACCUACGCGCUAGCCAACUGCGCCACCACCCCAUCUUGUGACACUUGUCUCUUAUAAUUUAAAAAAUAAAUUGUUUUCUGUCAGCCUAUUAAAUCCAUUAUAUUCCAACAAAAAAAUAAAAAUAAGUACUGCUACUUUAUUACAUUGGGUUGCUUCUUGUCUUCCCACCACACAAUGGACACUGCACAGGCCUGAAUAGGAAUUUCGGCUGGAGCAAUGCCAAGUGAUUUUCUCAAAACAAAAAAAUUAUGGUGAUGGAGGAAUAAUUAACAAUGUUUUAUUAGUUAUUUUUUGAAUUUUCUUUGAAAAAAAACACAACAAAAAUUAUGAUUUAUAAAAAAAAAAUUCUAUUUAAGAUUUCUAUAAUUUCCUUGUAUUUAUUUUUUUUAUUCAAUGCAAGUCCAUAAAAUAAUUAUGUUAUAAAUUAUUUACCAAACAUCAUAAAAUUUGUUGAUUUUGCCUAUUAAUUCUCACCCAAUUCUCACCCGCAUGAAUUUAAAUCCUCGAAAAUUUAUCUCUAGCAUUACUUUGUAUGUGACUGCACGGGUUCAAAAAGAUAAGGAAGAAAAGAUGUAGCAGAAGUUUCAACGAAGCUUGUGGGCUUAGGUUAACCUUUCUUUGUGUUCAGUUUGUUCAUGCUCAAAAUGUAGCCCAACAUGGGAUUUGGUUUGACCAAGUGAAACCUAGCUCAACUAAGCCUACUUUAAACUCACUUAAUAUAGGGUUUGGUUUGAUCCGGUCAAACAAAACCCACUGGAAUUCAUGUUCGGCUCGGUUGGAUUUUUUUUGGACUUAAUUUAAUCAAACAACUCAGUCUUUUCUUUCUCUUUCUUUUUUUAUUUUCUCUCUCUAGUUUAUUAUUAUUUACCUGUAUGUCAAGAAGAAUAUGAUAUUGUACAUACUAGACUUUUAUGUACAUUUCACUUGCAUCACUCAAUUAUUACAACAUAAAACAUACGUAUGAUGAUAUACUCAUGAUGUUUUUUUAUAAGGUAAGCUAUAUAAACAAGGUAAAACAAAUAAGAAAGCGGAUGAAUUUUAUCAGUCAUAACUAUAUAUAUAUAUAUAUAUAUAUAUAUAUAUAUAUAUAUGCAAUUAUUCUCUUUAAAUUUUUAUGAUAUAGAAAGAAAAAAAUAACACUCUUCAAACACUCCACUAACUUAGUUACUAGAGUAUUAUUUCGCAGGUAACACUCGUACAACCCAAUAUCAUGUGCAAAGAGAGCCCAAGUCCAAGCAAAGUCUUUCUAAGCUUCAUUAGAAUGCAUCUAUAUAUAUAUAAAAGUUGCAAUACAAAUUACAAAAUUAUAGCACUCUUUUUAACUUAAAAUCUAAAUUUUAGUCCCAGCAAUGAGCAUUCAUUUUCUUGUUUAAUUUAAAAGUUUUAAAUCUGGGCAACAUGAUGUAAAAUCUUCAUUCAAACAUGAGAGAAUCUCAAUCCAGUUUUUUAAAUGUUAUGGUGAAAUUGCAACUCUCUUUGCAAAGUUUGAGCGUACGUGGGCGAGGCCUCUUCAGUGUUUUGUUUGUCAGUUCAUGCUUAUGCAGUAAUCUCCCACAACAAUAGCUAACCGAGAUUGGAUGGGUCGUUUGAACUCAAUUUAACUAAAGCUAAAAAGAUUUAUCGGCAAUAGGCCCAAGCGAAAUUCACAAUCAAUGAUAGAGAUGAGGUGAUAUGCCCUUGUAAUUUCAACGUAUGCCCCUGACAAUAAAGGAACAGAGCAAGCCACGCUAGUCCUGUUCUUGUCAGUACUAAUUACGCACCAGAGUCCAUUUCCCAGCAUGUGAUGAGAUGUCUAUAUAGUCAAAGAAACAUGGCCCUGUGCUGAUCAUAUGCCGAUGAGCUGGUUUUCACUCCCUGGAUAUCUGUCCAGGAUCGAGCUCAAAUCUAAUCAUCCAUGGACAUUCACGCCCUUCCCAUUUAAUUAUUCUCUCUUCCACCAACUGUCAGAACAAGUACCAUGCUGAAUGCGAGAAUAUGUCCAGAUAAAUUCUAGAUACGUCGCCGUACUUGUUGUGUUUUGGGGACGUCAACAAGAUCUAGGAUCCUGAACCAACCCUUUCGCCAGCUCGAUGCAGCACUAUCACAUCUCCAAAUGGGAAACCAAAAAAAAAAAAUUUUUGAUUUUUCAAUGAUUAUUCUACACGUUAAAAGAUAAACAAAAUGUUAAAACAUCAUUUUUUUCUUAUCAAAUAUUACUCAUUACAAUAAUAUUUUUUAAUUUAUAUUUUUUUUAUUUGUUUCUUUUAAAAUUAUUCAGUAUUGUGACUUUGCAAAAUUGAUAUUGAUGAGUUUAUUCGAGUUGAUUUAUUUUUUUAAUUUUAUCUUUUAAUUUUGAAUUAAUUAAAAUUUAUUCGGAUUAUCUUUAAAUCUACUAGAUUAAUCAGGUCAUAUCAAAUUAUUAAAAUAAUUUUGUAUCAAAUAUAUUAAAAUAUAAAUUUGCUAUUUUAAAAAUCAUAUUGUCAAUUUAUUUCUUCUAUAAAUACCAUUUCUCAUACAUAAUGGAGAAGGAAUCAGAAAUCAUCCUGGAUAUUGGGAUGUAUAGACGAAGAAGAAGAAGAAGAAUCCACACUGCUCAAGGUUAUUUCUAUAUGUUAUGUCAAGCACAGUUGUUUUAGGUACUCGCUUUCUUCUCUGCCACAGCGUGAAACUUUUCAGAAUCCACCCACACCCACUACGCUUUUAGCUUUUGGUAACCAGCCUAUCCAUCACGCCUCGUCUCCACAACAGUAAAUUUCCAUGGCCCCUCAGACUUAUUACCAAGGAAAUGGUCGUCCUGGCAAGUGCAAGUGUUUACAUGUGAAAGAUGAUGCAAAUUUAGACCGUGGAUGCUAAUAAAGGGAUCAUCUGUGGAACUGUUAUGGGUGCGUUUAGGACAGCAGCAGCGGUUUUUUUUUUAUAAAUAUAUUAAAAUAAUAUUUAUUUUUUAUUUUUUAAAAUUUAUUUUUACUAUUAAUAUAUAUAAACGAUCUAAAAAUAUAAAAAAAUAUUAAAAAAAAACAAUUGAACCAUGCUCUUAAACAUCCUAUUAAAAGAUCAAUGAUCAUCCAUGCCAUUUAAAAUGAAGUUAAGAUAAUUCAAGGAAGUUGGUGUGCUGGGAAAAAAACUAGCUUUAGCACUUUUGAGUCUUGACUAGGUGACAGUGGAUUUUAAUUGUGAUUUACUGAGUUGUUUGUUAUUAUAUUAGUGAUUAUUUUUUAAAGUAUUUUUUUUACUUAGAAAUGUAUUGAAAUUUUAAUUUUUUUUAAAAAAAUUUAUUUAUAACACCAUCGCAUCAAAAUAAACAAAUAUUUUUUUUAAAAAUAUUUUUAAAACACAGGAUAACAAGAUAAAAUAGAGUAUAAAAUGUGGCUGAUGCUCUCACUAUGAAAAUAUGAAUUGAUUUUUAUUCUUCCAUUUCCAUUUCCCUUUACUGGCACUCUAAUUUACUGUUAUCAGUUCAUAGCAAAUUUAGACAGUAAAUAAGUGUCACAUUGAUGUCAUUGGUACAAACAUUUCUUACAAGUUACAGCAAAUAUUAAAGACAACAGGCUAAGCAGCAAAAUGUCCAAUCAGCUCCCUACUAGCUAACCUCCUCAUAGAGAGCCAAUUGACUCGAGUUUUAACAAGGCCCAGACGAAACAGAAAGGGAAAAGGACUCUCAAUCUCUAAUUGAUGAUUAUUACAGUAUUACCCUAGAAUAAGAAGAAGAGAAAAGUAUGCUGUCUAUAUCAACAAACGAGGACCUUUCACCUAUAAUUAGGCUAAAUCAUUCCAUCUCCUAACCUACGCCUCUAAACAGUCACCCCCCUAAACCCUCCAUUAAAAGACCAAAGCCAGAUACAGCACAAAAAUUUUAUUUACCCUUCUCAACAACCUUAACCCACCGCCUAACUCUAUCUCUCCCCUUCUUUCCUCCUCUCGCUCUCUCUCUGUCUCUCUUAAACCCUCAUCACCCGCUUUUGCAGCUCUUCCUUCUGUCCCAAAAAACACCUUCUCUUUAACCAAAGCCUAAGAAACCAAAAAUUAAAAAUUAAAAAAACCCCCGAAACUAAACAAAAACAAGAACACCCAUUUUAUUUGUUUCUAUUUUUCUCAAAUCUACCAGGACCCAGAAAGAAUAGAGUAAAUUUCAGAUCUCCACCGCUCGAUGUGGCGGCCGCGUGCUAAAUCGACAGUUAAGAUUCGCGACACCCCGUCUUCUCCUUUCUCUUUCUCCACUUUCAAAGAUAUCCAAAAUCUUUGCAUAGAGGAUCAUCCCUCCAGUCCCAUAAAAAAAUCCUCCUCCAUUUUCCACCGGGUCCGGCUCGCCACCACCUUCCUCCGCUCCCUCUCAUUGUCCUUAUCCGAGCCAGAACACAAUGCCACUCCAGCUCAUAACAAAACGACAACACCAUCGCUUCAAGAACAACCUCUUAUCACAAUCCCGGGUGCCGACAAACGAAUUGUCGUCUACUACACAAGCCUACGUGUGGUUCGUUCAACAUUUGAAGACUGCAAGACCGUGCAAUCUAUCCUACGUGGAUUCCGCGUUUUAAUCGACGAACGAGAUCUCUCAAUGGACUCAAGUUUUUUAAACGAGUUAAAUCAGAUCUUUUCCGGCCGUGGUAAUUGUGGUCGGAAGCUGACAUUGCCACGUGUCUUUAUCGGAGGGAGAUACAUGGGUGGAGCCGAAGAAAUCAGACAGUUAAACGAAUCAGGUGAGCUCAAGAAAUUUAUAGAAGGAUUGCCUGUGGUGGAUUCUGGUGUUUGUGACGUGUGUGGUGGUUAUAGGUUUAUUUUAUGUGGUCAAUGUAGUGGGAGUCAUAAGUUGUAUAUAGAGAAAGCUGGGUUUAAAUCCUGUACGGCUUGUAAUGAGAAUGGUUUGAUCAGGUGCCCUUCUUGUGCUGUCUAAUUUUUAUUUUCUUCUAUUUUUUUUUUCAAAUUAGAAGGUUUGUCGUUAUUUUUCUUGGGCUAAUCUUAGUUUAUAGGGUUUUUUUUUCGGUUUUUGGUAUUAUGAGAUAAGUUUUUUGUUAUCUUGUAAUGUAAUAACCUUAAAAUCAAAGUUAGGAAGCUAAGGUUAUAUUAUCAUUAUAAAUUAAGACUACUUCUUUCUUUCUUUGAUUUGAAAUUAUGGUUAAUGUGUAUGGCAAUUUUAGUUAUAGGAAAGAUAUGUAUGUCAUUAACUAUUUUACAGUUUGGAGGUCUUUUUUCACGUUUUGGAGCCCUGGAGGUGAGAGUUUUACUGCUGGAAGUGCAGUGACUGCAAUCAUGUGUUAAUGUCAAGGAGACUUGUUGAUUUUAGGAAGGGGAUAUGAUGACUGAUGGGGGUGGUUAUGUCUUGUCUGUUUCUUUUGGGUUUGAGCCAUGUUUGAUGCUGACUCUUUUUUCUUUUUUUCUUUUUCCUUGGAGAUUAGGAAUUUCACUUUCUUUUGGAAUCUGAUCAAUUGUCUCGUGUAUUUUGUCCUCGUUUUGGUUCACAACAAUGGGUCCUCUGCUUUUUGAAAAUUAUUGGGAGUUAGAAAAGUAUAGCUGGAUGAACAAAAUUCAUCUUUUAAUUGACUGUUCGGUGAAUAUUUAUACAGAUAAGGUUCUGAGUUUGAAAAAGAAAUAGAGACUAUCUUAUCUCCGAAAUAACUAACACGCCCCUCCUCUCUAGCUUAGGGUGUCUUCUUGUCACUCGAAGCUUGCUUCUUACAUCAAGAAAUCUGGUUAGGUGCUUUGUAAAGAUACCUGUCAACUGAUCUUUGCUGGACAGAAACUUAACUUUUAGCUUUCUUUGGGCAACCUAAUCUCUUAUCGAAUGGAAAUCGAUUUCGAUAUGAUUUGUUGUAGCUUUUGAAUAUGUGUUCAAUAAGCUGUUAGAGAUGUAUAGAAUCCUGUUGAUCAGUGCCAGGGAUCCUACACACCUCUAACAUGAAUGAUAUUAUUGCAAUGUGAAAUAAUAUGGUGUGAUAUUUGAUCGUUUUGAUUUGGGAUGCCUGCAUUAUUAUUAGAUAAUGUAGCUCAGCAUGUUCAUAUGUUCAUUUUAUGUUUGGUUUUUAAGAUCAGGGUAAUCGGGAGGUGGCUUUUUCACUGAGAUGAAGUAUCUUCCUGAAGCCAUUCACAUCCAAAUUUGUGUGUUUAUGGAAAUUUCUUUUUCACAGCCUUUUAAAAUUCAGGAUGCAAACUCUGAAUAGGAGUGUAGGGUGAAGAACAAAUUCACUUGUAACUCAAGCUUUCAAGACACACGCUUCAUUUUAUACCAGCACGUCAAAUUAACUCGAAACAUUUGGUAUAGCCUUGGACAGAAAGCAAUAUAGGCUGUCAAAAACUAGAAUUCCUUGGCAAUUUCUUGUUUCUCUAAAUAAGUAACAAAGGAAAUUACAGAUUACGAAGGAAAUUACAGAUUACAAGUAGCCAACUAGGCGGGAAACUGAACUAAUUUCCUUCAAGAGGAACUCUUACCAAUGUCCACAUCCACCAACCGAUUUCAUAUCCAUAAGUGUAGUUUCGCUACUAAAACUGGCACUGGUAUGAGAAAUUAAGAAUAAUUCUUCUUCUUCAGCAUGUCUAAUCCUCCAUCUCCACAUGCGAUAGAGACCUAUCGCAUUGAAGAACUUACAUCUCAUUAAUUAUUCAAUUUAUCUAAAGCGUGACUCUUACCAUUCUUGAUUCUCCUUACUUAAAUUUAGUGGCGUGAGCUGGUCUAGAAUGGUUAUGGGUUAGGAGAGGCGGAUUAGUUGAAGAGGUGAGAAUUUGUCUGGAAUGAUUCUAGGUCUUGGAGAGACUAUUAGCUUUUAUUGAUGGAGAAAUCACAAGAAAUUCAUUAAUAGAGUAACAAAGAAUGUUUCUUUGUUUCGUUUUACUUUUGUUCUCAUAAGGUUGCACGUCGAGGUCUUUUUUGAAGUUGCAGUACCACUACAUGUAUAGUUGAGACGUGAGCCCAACUAGCAUAAGAGUCUGGUCUAAAAACACCAAAACUGGGUUGAGCCGCAUCAAGUAAAUAAGUUGACUGGCUUCAUGAUCGAGGCUCCUAGGAGGCUUGGAUUCUUCGGCACACCGACAACGCAAGUUCCCCGCCUCUGGUGGAUGACUCUUCCAUGUUUAAAUUAGCCAAAUAUUUGUUAGCAUAGAAAUUGUAAAGAAUGUCAGACUAUAUAACUUUUAUCAACGAGCGUAUAUUCCUCUCUUUUUUUUUUUUUUAUGAUUCUCUCUUUUCAGAAAAAUCCCAUCCCCCUCAAAAUUCUCAUCCAUUUGUGCCCCCCACCCCCUUCUGUCAUGCCGCCCCUUUUUAUGGAGGGAAGGGCUCAAGUGAAAAGGGGUUCCUCCCUCUCUCAGGAUCAAGUUCAUCAUCAGUAAUCCAGCUAUUCCAGGUCUUUCUGUCAGUAUAUGCAGGCAUAUGACAGAAGUUGACAGCCAUGCAUUGGGGCAAAAUCCCUUUCAAGUUAGAUGGCUUAAGAUGCCUGGGUAAGGAGGUCCCAAGCCUACAGGGCAGGGCCUCUUGGCUCGUAAUUUUGAAAGGUCCGAGUUGGGAUGUGAGACCCAUAGUCCACAUAAUGUUGUGUGUAAAUUGGGGGCCUGUAAGGUCCAGCCCCGUCAAGCAGCGCUAGUGAUGUUUUUGCUGAUUUUCUCGCGGGUUUUGCGAAUUCGAGGAAGUUGUGCGUGCUCCGUUGAUCUAUUCAAGGUUCUGAGAAUAUCAGGACUCCUACUUCUGACUUCUGAGCCUAGCUUACUCCCAAGAAGCCACCAAACAAAGAAACAAAGUGCUGCUCGCAUGACAAAUCGGGCAGGGGCGAACUGUCUUCGCAUGAAUGAAACGACGAUCGUUUAUGAACAGGAAUUCCUGGAGAAGGGGUACGAUAUGCAGCGGCACCUCCACUGCGUCGCCACUGCAACUCAUAAAACUCGGGCUAUUUAAGUAAUUUCAAUUGACCUCUUUAAAAGUACACUAAGACCAAGAACACCUUCUCUGCAACCCCCCCUCUCUCUCUAAACUCUUCAAAACGAAGAAAAAGAAUCGCAAAUAUCAUCAUCAAGAACUGAAAAGAAACAGAAGAAAAUGGAGGAGGAAGGUCAAGAUACACCAAUAAACAUAACGAAGUUCAGUGGAAGAUCAAUACCAAUCUCUCUCUCUCUUUAGACUCCAAAAUCAAAGACCUCAAAUGCCUAAAAGAUGCUUGGACUGUGAUUGGACUUUGUGCUAAUCAAUUAUGUUAUGUUGGUUUUGAAUUUUGGGUUUGUUGCAAAUGGCAAUACUAAAAGUCAAAAGAUGCUUGGACUCGGCUGAUUUCAGUGUUCCUUCUCUGACAAUUGCUCUUGUUUAUUGGGAUUUAAAAGGCAAUAACCUUAUGAAGUGUGGGCCUGUGGACCUUCUAUGAUACUCCUUGGUAUCAACAACAACAACUUCAUUCAAGAUUUAACAGACCAAGUUUGCUGUUUAAUUUCCAUGCAGGUGAAAGUAGUCUUUUCCCUUGACUUGUACUGUUUGUUUGGACUUUUUGCUCAAUGAAAAUGGCAUAUCAGAUGAAUAUAUUAGCUGGGAAGGACUAACAGUUUUGUCUGUCAGCCAUAACCAGAGAGUAUCCAGUCAAUUGUGUUAUGAUUCUGGUCCAUUUAUCAUUUGAUGCAAGUUUGUGGCUAGGUGUCUCCCGCUGACUGUAACAAGGAGGAAGUCCAUAGCUGGACCUUCUAUGUAAAUAUCACAUAUAACAUAAGAAUAAUGAGGACCGAAUUGAAAUAUUAAAUAUUCAUACAAUUGGCAUCACCAGAGGAACAAGAUUAGAAUACAUUCUUGUGCUGUAGACAUUUAUUACUGCUUACUUGGCUAGCUAUUAUGAGAAAUUAUAGCACCAAUUAACAAAAUAAAACAUAUGCGGGGAGAUUUUAUUAGGUUCUUGGCUUCUGCAUUCAUAUAGGCGAACCUCUGAUGUUUAAAUUAUAUCAGUGGCUUGUUCUUAUUAAAACAGAUACGACAGCAGUCAUUCUCUUCAACCCCCUCUCUUUUCUUCUCUCUCGCAAAUUUAAAACUAAAGCCAGAGCCCCAGUUUGUGACCUAUGAAUGAUAGCCAACAAGAAAAAUCCAAGAAGAACGGAGCUCAUGCUGUGUUAGCUGAACAUAAAGAACAACUCCAAAGAGUGCUAGUGCUCGUUUGGGGAAUCACGGCUCUUGACUUUUUUUAAGCUUACGUAGCUUUUCAUCCCAAAGCAAAAUCUUGGAGUGUUCAGUAGGUCAUUAAGAGUCAAACAUCACAGCCUAUUUCACGCAUGGUUUUACAGCUACUUUUAAAAGCAACAAUAUGUAGCUUUUGAAUUGUUAUUUAUUUUUAUUAAUUGUUUUAAAUAUUCUUUUUAACUCUGCCGGUCCCCCGCUUUUAUUUAAUAAAUAUUACCCCUUGCAAAUUUAUUUGAUUCUCAAAUCUCACUUACAGAUUAUUUUAAUAUUAGAAACAAAUCUUCUUCUUCAAAGUUUGCCAAAAAAAAAAGGUGUUUGAUCGUGUGCACUGACUCCUGCGUUGUGUGAUUGAAUAAACAUUUGGUGUGUGGAAAAAGAGAUGGAAGAUUUUGACAUGCAUGCCCUUUAUCCAUGUAAAAGCCAAGUCAAGAUGGUUGUAGAUGCAAAUAUGGCAUUGUAUUCACCAACUUUGAUUAACAUUAUGAUUUCAUACCAACUGAUAUAUUUCUUAAUAUCUCUUCUUAAAGGCUUCCAGAUGAAGAUGAUAUUUAUCAAACUCACGAGAAAUGUGGACUAUUAGACAAUCAGAAAUAUAUAUAUAUUGACAUAUAAAAUUCACAAAUAUAUCUUCUUUUCAUGUGUCCUUAGUAAUUUUGAUAAUAAAAACCCUUUUCACAAUUAUUUUUAACACACUAUAAAAUAUUUUCCAUUAAAAAAUUUGUAUAAAAUUAUUUUUUAUAUAUAAUUUUUUAAAAAAUAAAAAAGUAUUUUAAUAUAUUUUCAAAAAAAUACUUCAAUAAACAGCAGCUCCAACACUCAUAAACACCUAAAAUAAAAACAUGCCAUCGUGUAAUGGUAAUUCAAAAAUCCACUGAAUACUUGAUUCCCAGUCUGGUUUCAUCGUAACCCCGAAAAGCAAUAAAUCAGCAUAACGGACAUUCUCAUUAAAAGUACACUUCCCAUUUCAUAUAUGGAAUUUUGAAACUAUUUUCUAAAUGUUCAUCUUGUGUGCACAAACACUGGAACGAGAGAUACCUGUGUACACACUUGUCAUCAUUUAGGGAAACCUAACGGAAGUAAAUGGAUACUGUAGGGAUGUCAACAUCAUUGCCCUCAUCAUCAUCGCAUGCCACGACAACAUCGAAGUGGCGGCGAUAAGCAGGCAAUUCAACUUUGGCCACUUCCCUCACCAGAUCAACCACCUUCCUGUCCAUUCUCUCCCUGUGCCGAGGGAACAUGCUAUUGUAGAGCAGGCAGCUACCAAAUGAAAUGCUGUAAGCACUCAACCCCUUGUCUGUAAACCAUUGCAGAAGUUCCCUUAAGGUAGGAUUGUUUUUCAGGGUCCACCUGUCCCAGACUGUCCAGCUCAUAUCCUGAUGCUUGAUAACCUUGGGUGGGACAGGCUCGGCCAUGGAGAACAGAGGAAGUGCAAGGUUGGCAAAUGUAUUGCGGUAGUCCUCCACUUUGUGUCCACCAUCCAGAACCUUGUACAGCUCCAGGCACACAAGACCAGUGGCCAUAGCUGUGGAGGUUGCGAUAGCAGGGAUGAUCCUUCCAGCAAUAAACUUCGCUUUCAGUUUGUCAACCUCAGGAAUACUGUAGUUUCUAGCUCUCAUGUUGGCAAGCCCAGCUAUCAAAUCCAUAUGGUAGUUUGUAUCAUCAUCCUGCACAUGUACAGAAAUACAAGUUACUAAAGAGGUAAGAUGGGUUCAAACAUGGAUGGCAUCAAGGUUAUAAAAUAGAUAACAGCAUAAAUGCCCCAUAUUUGGCCGACAUGCAAGUUAACACUCCAAGUCUCACCACCUAAAUAAGGAACAAAAUUGACAAGACUCUUGACAGAUUUAUAUACAAGCUUUAAGAUCUUCAGCGAUAAUGACAGAGCAAGUAUACAUUAUCAAUCUAGAUCUAAUCCCACGAUUGGGCGGCCCAAAGAAAUGCGUGAUAAAAAUAUUGCUAAAAGGAAGUUGACGAAAGAGAACCUUCUCAAACUGAAUUGGCUUCAUCCUGAACCCCGCAGGCAGGUUCUCCCUGCACAGCUCCAAUUUCCUAAUUAGUUCAUUAAUUAUUGCUGCAUCAUCCACAGAUGCAUUAGACAAAUUAGUAGCCUUCUCAUCUGUCUCAAUCUUCACACCUUCCCUUGGCUGAAAGUCCGGCACAAUCACCUUGUCAACAGCUUCAGCUACCAUCUUAGGAUUCCUGAUCCAGUCAGGAACUGGGAUCCCAAAAGUUUCUGCUCGUAGUACUGAUGCUGCCAUUACAAAAUGAAGGUGGCUAAGAUCUGUAGUUGAGAACUGGAGUGGAUGAGGGAAUCGCUUUGGGGCUGACCAAAAUGGAACCCCGGUACUAGUUGAUGCAUCUUCAGGAAAUGUGUAAAUCAACUGCUUCACACGGUCAGAGAAGUAAUCUUCAAACCUGAAUUCAAAUUAUGUAUACAGUCAGAUAUUGGAAAGGACAAGCCCAUUACAAGAUAAUAAGAGAUCUCAUCAGAGGAAGUACUUUAAACGAGCCCAUGAAAUGCAAUCCUGUAAUGUCUCGCAUUUUUCCUUCUCGAGGCACUCAAGAACAUGUUCCAAGAUAUCCCUUGACUGGGCAUCACCAGCUUUUAUCAUAGCAUUAGUAUAUUCAACUGGAUUUGAUAGAUAGGCAUUCACUUCUGCAGGCGUUUUCUCCACCAAACCCUCAAACUCCGAUCGAGCCCAUGUCAAGCAAUGGUCAAUGUUGUGCGGGAAGGAGUGCACGGUGCACAUCGGAGCUUGUUUCUCAGGUGGGUCCCUAGAAGCACCGUAGUUUUCAGUUAGGUGAGGAAUGACCAUCUGAGUGUUGCAUUUGGCACCUAAGGUUCCAGACUCGAGAAGAGGCUUUUGGAAGUACAAGCACCUCUGAUCAACAUAAAGUCUCGCAUUGACAUUGUCCAAAGCAUUCACAACAGCGGUUAAGUUCUCCCAGAAGGUAUCAUCAAAGACAUUCUCUGUUUCAGAGCCAACACGAUUCUGCAGCGCUUCAAUCUUGAGAUGAGGAUUUAUUAAUGCAGCAGCUGAAGCAGCGACUGUGGAUUUGGCCUGUCCAAUAUUCCAGUCACGGAAGAGAAACUGCCUGCUCAAAUUACUCUUCUCUAUUACAUCAUCAUCAGUUAUUGUCAGCUUUCCUUGUUCACCACAUGAAACACCCAUCAGCGCUAAGUUCUUCAAGAAUUCACAGCCUAGGGCACCAGAUCCUACUACAAACAAAUUGGCACCCUCCAGUUUCUUCUGAAGAUUGGAUCCAAAAACAGAAAUUUGAGCAUCAUAACGGCUGUUUAAUGGCAUGAAUUCACUGGGAUCCAAAUUAGCUGUGGGAAGUGAUUCCACAGAAUCAAAAUAAAAGAACUGUGACAGCAGGAAAAGCAGGAUUAGCUUACACAACAAGAAACCUAAUUGCAUUGAUAACAGAAGACACUGAAGGACCCAGUUGUGUGCUACACACGAGAUUAAAUGAGUGGAACAGAGCUGCCUUAUUGAACCAGGAAGUGAUAUUAAUAGAUUAUUCUGAUUAAUAGAUGAAACUCAGCAGUAAAAGGCUCUUAUGAACAGCUAAAAUUUCAGGCCUAACAAUCUAAGUGCAUGAGUGGAUGCUUAUGCACAAAUGAGAACCCAUUGUGUGUUUAUGUCCAGACAAUUAUGGUUAAAAAAAGUUCUUGAAAGAGAGAGGGAGACAGAGGCUCCAAAAGGCUUUAGAGGUCUACCAAUACUCAACAAAUCUAGAGCUGGUACCCACCUGAAACAGGGGAUGAAACUUUCCAGAACAUGCUUUGACAACCUCUUGUCCCACAAUACCACCAAACAUAGCAGCCAUAGGAUUCAGUACAGCCCUGGCACCAAAGGCAAAAUGUCGCAGAAGUUUUGGAUUGAUGUCUUCAACCCUACCAUCUCCAGAGUUUUCAUUGAUGAGACUGGCAAGAGACACAAGCUUCUGAGCAUCCUCUUCUGAACCAGCAACAGGGAGGCGACCCAUCUCAGACACAAACUUGUCCAGAGCUUGAAAUGCCAAGUGUAGGAGAGGUGGGCGAUCAAACUUUGAGAAAUCACUCAAAAGAAAAUCACCAGGAUCUUUAAUCGCUUCCCUCAAAGUCUUAAAGUUCAACACCUUCGGCUCUUUUACCUGUGUAACAAUGCCACCUUUCUCAUAGAUACCAAAGUCAGAGGUGUCCUCCUCAAGAAAAAAUGAAUAUGCUCUGGCGUUUUUAAUCUUUCUAGGUUUUCCAUCAUUUAGUUCUGUCAUUCCCUUAACUUCGGAGAAAGCAACAAGAUCCCCAUCUUGAAACUCAAGCCUUUCAUCAUCAACGCAUGACACUAAUGCAGGGUUGUCAUUGCUGAUGGAUGCAACUAUGCCCGUGUGUGGUUCCUCUCCAUCAACAUCAAACACGGUGAAUUCAGGUCCAAAGUCACAAAAAAUGGAACCAAAAAGGCCUCUUACUUCAGCCUUGAUGAAAGAAAUAGGAGGCUUAUGAUCAUGGCAAUAGUCGUUGAACUCGAUGGCUUUCUCAAAAGUGACAUCAGUAAACACAACAGCCUGCAUCACCAGGGGAAAAAAGGUGGAUAUAAUAAAAUAUAUAUAAUGAUAAGGUAACGUGUUCAUGAACACAAAAGUGAGAGACAGCAUUGAAAUGCUCAACACACUAAAAAGCAAGCAUUUGUUUCCAUGAUAAUUUCCUUCCAUAUGAUACAGCAAUUCAGACUCAUUUCGCAAAAAAAAAAAUGAAAACAAUGAAAUCACAAUCUCUUGUUUAACUGUUUUUCAGAUAAAACUAGAGUUCACAGCAGAAAAUGCUGGAAGCAACAUGAUCCUAACAAAAACAAGCAUAAGUGAUUCCUUGAUUGUGUAGCUUUCUCCCAUCCUCUGCUUCAUGCUUUCAUGUAACUUUCUCCCAGAAAUUUCAUUUAGAAGAUAAAAUGUGGGUUCUCAAUCAUAAGUAAAGGAAGAGAAGCACACCACACUUACCAAAACAUUCAAGGAUACAAACCUGUUGAAAUUUCAUUAAAUUGAAAAUGUAUUCAUUAGAUGGCCUUUCUAGCAAUGUCGCAAGAUAACAUUGGGGGGACAUAGAAAAGGCUACUCCCAUAUCCUUCUAUUCACUCUUUGUAUUCUUCUUAAAUUUAACAGCUUUGGAGUUUCAUCUAGAUAAAGAAUGUUACUGAAGAAUCAAUUGUCUAGCCAUUGUCUCUUUACUUUCUCAACUUUUCUCUUCAGCCACUAGUGCUCAGCAUUUUAAGACUCUUAUUGGACCUUUACAUGAGAUUUUCAGCAGCAAUACAAUUUACAAGUCAGCCCACCAUACAGCUCACAAGGAGAAUUGAAUGAAGCUUAGGAUUUAGUAGCAUAUCACAGUUUCAGACGAUGUUUAACAUGACCCUAUAAAAGACCAGAUUCUUUCCCACGAAUCCUGGACAACCUAGUUAUAAGAAAUAUUACUUCAUAUUCCAAAAGCAGCAUUUCUAAAAUCAAUCGCAGCUCCCCGAGCUCCACAUCUGCUCCAGAAUAUUCAUAUGUGCCAGUAAAAUAAAAUCAAUACAGGCUCUACCAAAAAAUCAUGUACCUCAAUACUGUAAAUCCGAAUUAGCAUUAACAGCCAUAUUUGUAACUAAAUAAAACCAGUUGCUCACAAUGGAUUUGUUCAUGAUGUUGCACAUAUAAAUAUAAACAGGAGUAUUCCACAAAGUAUCCAUAUGAGAUUCUAUAGUAACUUUUGCAUUUGCUUUGCUUUUCAUAGAAAAAGCUUGUAAUCAUGAUAAGGUACCUACCACACAAAUAGGAGUGUAAUCAAGAAUAUCCAGCUCAAGAUGUUAUAAUUCACUUGUAGCAAAUGAAUCCUUCAAAUAAACUAAUCAAGAGAAAUCCACCGAGAAGGAAGUACCUGGAACUUGGAAAGAUGCUCUUUUGUCAAUUUUGUAGUUAAAGUAGAGAUGACCACUGCAUUGUUGAGUUCCUGCAACUUCUGAACAGAAGCAAGGGCUCUAUUAGUGCCAACAUCAUUUUCUGAGAAAACAAAGUUGCUGGAUAAAUCCCACAGCUCCACCACCCCUUCAUCAUGCAAUGUUACGGACUUGACACCAGCAAGAACAAGGUUUUUAGCUGCAGCAAGUAAAACAAAGCACACGCAUUAGAAAGAGAAACAUUUACAAAAACUUGACACCAACAGCAACAAGAGUUAAAGAAAAUUUAAAACAUUACAUUAUUUAAACACAUGCAAGGAUGUUAAAAAAAAAAGCUGCAGCAAAAAGAAAUCCAACUACAACAAACUGCCAAAAACAAGAUUAAUAAGCAGGCUUCCAUUCAACUGAUGUAGUUCGAAUUGAACAGGGAGAAAUUGAGAUAACUUAAGAAACAAAAAAGAAGAAGAAACGAAGACAAAUAGCUUGCGGAUAGCCCUCUCUUUCAUAAGCACAAAUUCAGCAUUCCAUUUCCAACGUUUCUUCAACAGAAAACAAAACAAUAAAUCCAUAAACAGCAACAAAAAUACCAAAUUAGCCUACAAGCUGCCUGACUCAUGAUCUUAAAGAGCUCACUAAUUAAACCAACACAAAUCAAGCUUAGAAGCAAAUAUCUAGCCACAGUAACUGAAAUCUGAUCACCUUUAACUACAGAGAAUUAAAAGUUCAAAAUCUAAUCAUCAUUUGCUCCCAAAAAUUCACCAUCAACAACAACAAAAUAAUCCACAACAAGAUCCAGAAAAUCACCGAAAAAAAUUAAACCAGAAAUUAAAAAAUAACAGGAUUAAGAAAAAUUACAAGAAACUGAAAAAUAAUUAAAGAACCAUACCAAUCUCAACACCAAGUCCUUGCAUCCCAGAAACGAGAACAUUAGAAGCAAAGAGCCUCCGCAUCGUCUCCCUACCGUAAACAGCAAGCUGCCGGCUAUGAAGAUCCUCAUCAAUCUCCGAUGGAUUUGAAUCACCAAGCGCCAUACUCACCUUCUCUUCAGCACCACCACUCUCUCUACUAAUAUCACUGCAAUUACCAAUAACGCUACUAGUUUUCUUAUUACUAUUGGCGGCGGUCGAUUCCAAAUAACAAUCGACCCGAUGCUUCUUAAAGACCGAUGACGAAUCUUUUGCUAUGUUGUUUUCACUUCCUUCUCCUUCUACCAACACAGCUUCAACUGGUAGCCUUUUAGGAAGCAUAAAGUACAGUAAACUGCCAAACAAGCCACAAAUCAUCACAAUCGAAAUCAAAGAUAAGCUGUUGUUAGCGAUUACAGUCGCAACAAAGAUCGGUACCGAAAUCAUAAACCCUAAUCCUAAACCUAACAUCAACAUGAUUGUAAGAUAAAGAAAUGGAUCAAUGGAUUCGUGAAGAUAGAGAAAGAAACAUACCGGUUAGGACUUAAUUAAGGAAAGAAUGGAAUCUAAGAGAGGAAGAAUGGAGAGGAAUCGAGAGAGAGAGAGUGAUUUGCUUUAUUGAGGAAGAAUAUUGAGUGAAGGGUAUUUGUGGAUUUGUGUGUUUUAGGGUUUAGGGGCAGGAGGGGUCAAGGGCUGUCCGGCUUUGGCAAGGUCGGGGUGCGUGUGGUACUGUCAUGAUUUUCUCUCUCUAUGUUGAAGAGAGAGAGGAGGUGUGUUUUGGUGUGAAGAGAGAGGGGAGUAAGAUAAGUCAGGUUGAGAGAAAGGUUGGUGUGUUCGUGUUGGGGAAUGACUGGUGAGAGGUAAAUUAUUUGAAUCGUGUGAUUUGGGGUUGAUGGUUUAGUCGUUGCCGUUUUAUUGGGGUUUUCGGGGGUGAUGAUGUCGUUUUCGUGGUUGUUUUGUUGUAUUUCGUUUGUAUGGGAUAGAAACUCUCGGCCGCGAAAUUAUGCUUACGGACACUUUUUAUUUGAAUUGAAGGAAUUGCAUGUAUUUAAGAUGUAAUGAAUUUCGAUAUAAAUAGCUAGCAAUUAACAUAAUUUCAUAGGUGAAUUUAUUUAAUUUUGAUGUGCAUGAACCGGAUUGACGGUGCCGCGAACAUGAAAUUAAAAAGAAAAUAAAAUAAAAGAUUAUUAGUAAAAUGCUUAGGUAUUAUCUUUAAUAGUGAUAUACUUGAAGCUUUUACAGUUCGUUUAUUUAAAAAGAAAAAAAGGAAAAGUGUAUUUGUACUCCUUUUCUUUUUCCUACUUCUUACGGCGGUAAAAGAAAUCCUAGUUCUAGAGACUAUCAAAGCAGAAUUUGUUACCCUCUCUCGACUCUGCUUUGGUAUUGUGUAAUAAAUAGAGUUGGCUAAAAUUUAUUUAUAUUUUUAUCAUUUAAAUAUAUUAAUAUAUAAAAAUAAAUUUUGCUAUAUUCUCGUUGUAACCCACCACAAGCCCCACUGGUCUAUUUCUGCGUGAAACUUCCAAAUAAGUGAAUUUUUAUCCCACACCAAACCCACUUCUUUCAUUGCAAUAAAGAAGAUAAAUGGCAAGGUGACUUUACAAUGACACCCUCGUAGACAUAAUCUUUGAAUAACAAUGGCAGCUUUUUUUUAUUGGAUAUUCUCAAUAUUUGAACUCAUGAUAUUAAGAAAAUGAACAGGCAUUUUUACCCAUCCACCAAACGCUAACAAACUAGACCAGCUACAAAAUUAACAGUAUUCCUUUCAUUUUUACAAGAUAGCAAAAGCAAAUUACUUUGAGUCGUAAUUAUACCUCAUUAUUUGUUACUAAUAUUAGAUUUUCAGGAGAAUAAUAUCAAUAAAUUAUAGCUCGAUACCCGCUCUCCAAAAAAAAAAUUCAGGUUGGGACCUCUUCUCUAUAGGAAAAGAAAGCUUAGGACACAAGUUACAUAUCUAACAUCGUCAUUUGAAAGCAUUUGAAUUCUAAUAUCUUUCAGUAUCCGCGGCGAGACCUAAAAUAAUCACCUUGCAACAUGCCCAUGUGUCCUGUCCAGGACAAGGAAGUUAACACGACAACUAAGGAAAAUUGCUUCUUCAAGUCCGUCUAGGACAAAAUCCUGUCUCUCUCACUAAACUUGCUUUCAAACUCUAAUGAACAAUAUCAUCAACUCAGCAGACCGGUUGCAUCCACGAUGUAAAUACCUCAGGUCGAUCUCUUUUAUCAAAGAAAAUUUUGUAGGGUCGAGAAUAACAGCACAUAUAUAGCCUGAGAACAGCACCAGAAAAUUUUCUCAUGGCAUUCUCGAGUUCCACAGCAUUCAGUAUUCAUAUAUCUUGAAAUAGAAGUUGCUAUUUGGUUUAUACUAUUGAAAUGUCAAACGGUUGUGUGAAAAAUAUCCAUAUUGUGUGCUCACAGAUGCAGCAGCAUUGAAAUGAAAUCUAACUGUUAAUGGGACUCCACCCCUCGUCCAGCAAUCUCAAGACUGACUUACUGAUUGGGGAAACGGACAAAGAUAACCUAACUGAAGUAAAUAGAUACAGGAGGAAUGUCAACAUCAUUGCCUUCAUCAUCCUCGCAUGCCACAACGACAUCAAAGUGGCGACGAUAUGCAGGCAACUCUACUUUAGCCACUUCCCUCACCAGAUCAACCACCUUCCUGUCCAUUCUGUCUCUAUGCCGAGGGAACAUGCUAUUGUAAAGCAGGCAACUACCAUGUGAAAUGCUAUAGGCAUCAAGACCCUUAUCCUUGAGCCAUUGCAUAAGUUCCCUCAAGGUAGGAUUGUUUUUUAGGAUCCACCUGUCCCAAACUGUCCAGCUCAUAUCCUGAUGCUUGAUAACCUUGGGUGGGACAGGCUCGGCCAUGGAGAACAGAGGAAGUGCAAGGUUGGCAAAUGUAUUGCGGUAGUCCUCCACUUUGUGUCCACCAUCCAGAACCUUAUACAGCUCCAAGCACACAAGACCAGUAGCCAUAGCUGUGGAGGUUGCUAUAGCAGGGAUGAUCCUUCCAGCAAUAAACUUGGCUUUCAGCUUGUCAACCUCAGGAAUGCUGUAGUUUCUUGCUCUCAUGUUGGCGAGACCAGCUAUCAGAUCCAUGUGGUAGUUUGUAUCAUCAUCCUGCACAAUCAAGGAAGUUAACUUAAAUUUCGGUUGGCUCAUGAAUAUUGAAUGGCUGAUAAAAGUGACUCCCCUUAUAUUUUGGCCACAUAUUUUCUUUUUUAAAGUAUUUCUAUCUACAUCAUGAAGCAAACACUACCCUUGAUCAAUUAAUGCAAAUAUUUCAAAAUUUUCAGCCAAGUUAAUAAGAAAAAAUGUUGGAUAACAUCUUGAUUCAACAGCAGGAUGGCCCAAAAAAUGCAUGCUAAAUAAAUUGAACAAGAGAUAUCACCUUCUCAAAUUGAAUUGGCGUCAUCCUGAACCCAAGUGGCAGCUUCUGCCUACACUGCUCUAAUUUUUUGAUAAGUUCAUUGAUUACCGCUGCAUCAUCUACAGAUGCAGAAGACAGGGUGGUAGCCUUCUCGUCUGUCUCAAUUUUCGCGUCUUCUCUUGGCUGAAAUUCUGGCACUACCACCUUCUCCACAGCCUCAGCCAACAUCUUAGGAUGCUUCGCCCACUCAGGAACUGAGAUCCCAAAAGUCUCUGCUCGCAAUAUUGAUGCUGCCAUGACAAAAUGGAGGUGACUUGGAUCUACAACUGAGAACUGAAGUGGAUGGGGGAAUCGCUUGGGGGCAGACCAGAAUGGAGCACCAGUACUAGUUGAUGCAUCCUCAGGGAAAGUGAAAAUCAACUGCUUCACCCGAUCAGCAAAAUAAUCUUCAAACCUGAAGACAAAGUGAGCAUAAAGUCAAGAAACAGAACAAGGUAUGUCCUAUCAUACAGAGAAUUGGAAACCCAAUCAAGGAGAGCACCUUAAACGAGCCCAUGUAAUGCAAUCCUGGAAUGUCUCACAUUUUUCCUUCUCAAGGCACUCAAGAACAUGUUCCAGAGUGUCCCUUGACUGAGCAUCACCAGCUUUGUUCAUAGCAUUAGUAUAUUCAACUGGAUUUGAUAAAUAGGCAUUCACUUCUGCUGGGGUUUUCUCCACCAAACCCUCGAACUCGGAUCGAGCCCAUGUCAAGCAAUGGUCAAUGUUAUGUGGGAAUGAAUGCACAGUGCACAUAGGUGCUUGUUUCUCAGGUGGGUCCCUUGAAGCGCCAUAAUUUUCAGUCAGGUGAGGAAUGACCAUCUGAGUGUUGCAUUUGGCACCUAAGGUUCCAGACUCGAGAAGAGGCUUUUGGAAGUACAAGCACCUCUGAUCAACAUAAAGUCUCGCAUUGACAUUGUCCAAAGCAUUCACAACAGCAGUUAAGUUCUCCCAGAAGGUAUCAUCAAAGACAUUCUCUGUUUCAGAGCCAACACGAUUCUGCAGCGCUUCAAUCUUGAGAUGAGGAUUUAUUAAUGCAGCAGCAGAAGCUGCAACAGUGGAUUUCGCCUGUCCAAUGUUCCAAUCACGGAAGAGAAACUGCCUGCUCAAGUUACUCUUCUCUAUCACAUCAUCAUCAGUUAUUGUCAGCUUC